This 51898-nucleotide long non-coding RNA is filed under the name Coffea arabica (coffee). RNAcentral's name for it is "long non-coding RNA (CARA_LNC004955)". The stretch from base 13942 to 14014 matches the Rfam family "tRNA". Lineage: Eukaryota; Viridiplantae; Streptophyta; Magnoliopsida; Gentianales; Rubiaceae. The record is from RNAcentral.
GGGUGGAAUGGCGGUGAAAUUGCAGAGACGUACAGCUACAGUGAGACCGCGGAAAACGUCGAGAGACACAAGGCGUUGUUUUGGUGCGGUUGCCACGGGUGGUGUUGACCCGUCGUUACUGUCAGGCUCCUCCGCAGAGACUGAAGCGGUGAUCUCUCCUCCUCCGCCUCCUCCUCCUCUAAUCGCCGAUGAUCCUCUCCUCCUCGGAAAGUCAUCUGAAGCACUCUGUAGUAGUGGCGUAGCUUCGCCGUCGUCGACUGCGACUGUUACCACCGCCGAUGCCAUACUGAUGAUAAUAGUAGUAUUAGUUUCGCUUCUCCGGUUUGACUUUGACCUUCGCGCGAACUACAGCUGCUAAAGCAGCAAUACAAAAAACAAAAAAGGUUACAGACCAGCGGAGUGCAACGAAUAAUUGGAAAAUGAGGAGUGCCCAUCGCCAAGUAAUCCAUAACGAUUUUUUUAAAAAAAAAUCUUUGGUUUUCUUUAAUUACCGUUUAAAGUUUAAUUUGGUAAAUUAAAUAUGAUAAAAUGACCUGUUUCAUCCCUUACAUUUCACAAAAAUAUUCUUUUCGUCCCUCACUUUUAAAAUGAAGCAAUUUCGUCCCUGACAUUUAAAAAUUAAAACUAUUACAUCCUUGAACCCAAUUUUCAAUCUGAAUCAAACCACCUAUCAACCUGAUUACAAAUUUUGGAGGUAUAAUUGAUAGAUCACUUGGUUAACUCAACUUGAAUAUAACUCAACUUGAAUUCCUACAUUGUCAUUGUAUACACUGAUGGUUUUAUGUACCUACCAUAUCAUUUCAAUUUAAAUUUAAAUACCAAAUUUUGUAUUUAUGAUACACAUUUAGACUCGCAAGCGAAUAUACUAAUGGUGCAUGAAAAGAUUUACCCAAAAGAAAAACCCGACUAUUCCAAAACAAAUAAUGGCCUUUAUGUUAUAAUAUUUAUUUUUUUGGUUUAAUAAAUGUCAUGUGAAUAUGAUGAAAUUGACCGAAUGACCUAUCAAUUCUAUGUCCGAAAUUUAUUACUGGGUUAUUGGAUGGUUUGAUUCAGAUUGAAAAUUAGGUUCAGGGAUGUAAUAGCUUUAAUUUUUAAAUGUCAGGGAUGAAAUUGCUUCAUUUUAAAAGUGAGGGACGAAAAGAAUAUUUGUGUUAAAUGUGAGGGAUGAAACAUGUCAUUUUCCCAUUAAAUAUUGAUAAUUGAAUUUCGACUGAAUAAUCCGUAAUUCCAUAAUACUUAAAACUCUAGAAGCAAGUAAAAAAUAUUGAUUUAAAAUAAAUUAAGGCUCUAGAAUAAAUUUAACAUCAGUAUGUGAUAUUAUUAAAUAGUAUAUAAUAUCCUAUCUAACAUAAAAUUCGAUGAUAAUUUGGCUAGUAAUCGGAAUUUUAGAAAUCAAAUUUAAUAUUUAUUCUCAAACUAUUUUAAGAUUUUUUUUUAAAUUGGAUAUAAAUCGGUUUUAUCAAUAUCGAGAUGUAUAUUGGAUUGAUCUGUCUCGUUUGGCAAGUGAGUUUUUUGAGUGUUUGUCUAAAAUUUUACUGUAGAAGUUUUUAAAAAUUUUUUUGAAGUGUGUAAAUUUUUGAAUAUUUUGAAAUGUAUAGUUUAAAAACUUUUAAAAAAUUUGUGAGGUUAUUGUAGUUAAAAUUUUUAAAAAACUUGCAACAAAUAAACUUAACAAAAAACUUGUCUGCCAAACAAGGCCCGGUUUUCUUAGGAACUUUAAACCCUACAGGGAUAUUCCAUUCUUUUUUUUCAUUAAGUACUCCAGUUGGGCUCGAUGAAAAUGUUCUCUUCUUUCCUUCCUUACCCACAAACGAUUGAAAAUUUCGCACAUCUCAAGUUUCAAGUUCAAUUGUUGCAGUUGGUGGUUGCCAAUUUGAGAUUGACCCGUACUCAAAUAGAUAAAUUUUUUGGUAUCAUUUAAAAUUGUUAUAUUUGAAGACUUAUAUAAGAGUGCAACCGAAAAAUCAUAUCAUUUUGCAUCAUAAAAUUUAUUUUAGAGAUCGGAAAACAUUACCGCCACAUAUAGAUAGUUUACAGUAAUUUUUACAGAUCAUUCGUCAACAGCAAUUUUUUUUUCCUCUGAGCAUCCGGUAUCCCUAUUCUUUCGUGAGACUAAUCCGGAUUCGGUCCAGGGAGUGCCCUCAGAGUCCAACUCUUAUUCGAUGGUGAAAACUUGACCCAGAGCUUUUCAAGACGACACAUGCAGAAGUCGAAUUUGUGAUCUUUCAUUGACAUUAGUAACCUGCUUAUCAGUUGCCCCAAGCUUAGGGGUUGGCAACAGCAAUUUAUCAGACAAUGAAAGUUGAACUCGCAUGCUUUCAAAACUGCAGGACAAGUAGUUGUACAUUCUAUCAAGUUAAAAUAUUUUGCUGAAGAAAACAAUAUUAUUUUGCUGAAGAAUAUUUUCCCUUCAAAAGAUUUUACAGCGUACCAAACUGACCCCAGAUCUCAAGUAAUCUCACGUAAUUUGUUCGCAUGAAUUGAUUCCAAAUUAACUCCAGAGUUGAAGUCGAUCGUGCUAUUAAUAAAAGAGGAAAAGUCUAGAAAGACAAUAAGGUGGGAUAAUUAGACUGCUAGCAUAUAUUUUUGAAAAAGAACAUCCCAUUGUCAGCUAUCCUACCAGACUAAAAUAGCUCCAAACGCCCGGUUUCUGUAACGAGCCCCGUAAUCUUUUGAGCGGCAAUGUUCAGCGUAUCAAAGCUCUUGCAGAAGGCAAACCGUAUAUAUCUGCUCUGGUAGCUAAAUGUAGAUGAACAGGAGCUUUUGUGAAAGAAUCCGCUUCCUGGCACAGCUACCACCCCUGCUUGUUUGAUGAGUUGCUCCACAAAUUCAACCUGAAAUUGUAAAAUUGAUUAAUAGCUGCGGUCCACCCACCGAUGAAUCAAUUGCUGUGAUUUCUAGGGAGGUUACAUUUGGAAGACUGAUAAGGCACAAGUGAGAAUUUUUCAGAGGAAUUACAUAAAAUGCUUCUGGGCGAAGAUCAGGAUUCAAACUACAAAAAAUUUUGCCUUGUAGAAUAUGGAACAAGCAGAAAAUUGAUCCAUCAUGCUUUCACAAUGAGGUAAAUAGAUAAGAGUAUGUUACGAGGUGCCUACAUCAGAAAGAGUGCAGCUCUCAGGAAGCUCUGCAAACACGAAAACUGAACCCAUUGGCCUAAACUGCAUUGGGAAGCCAACCUUUACAAGCAACUCAUGAAUGAAAUCUCUUCUCGAUUGAUAGUCCUACGCAUCAGAACAUAGUUUAUUAGGAACAGACCACAACUUCCAGUACGUACAAGACCUUGAAAAGUGAGAUGUUGGAUCUUACCCUUCUCAAUGAAUCAAAGUAUUGAGGAGAACUUCUCAAAGCAGUCAAGGCUGCUUCCUGGAAAGGUGCUGGAGCACAAUCUGUAACUUUUACAUGGAUGUUUUGAAUCGCCAAUGCAAUCCUAGCCGGAGCAAUCGCCCAUCCAAUCCUCCAACCUAAAUAUUCACACCAUGACAGAGCAUAAGUGCACAUGUCCUCCUACCAGGCUGAGUAAUAGUAGCAAGAAUCAAUGAUUUAAGCAAUUCAUGAUAAUUCUAUGCAAGGGACCCGAAAAACGGGGAGAGACAGAGCAGACCAUCUGACUCUUGUCAACAAGGUAAAACAGCGGGCAGCAAUAAUGAACACCCAGGUAGGACAAUCAAUUUUUCACCUGUAACGCUAAAAGUUUUUGACAAUGAUGAUGUCACAAUGGUCCGCUUCUGCAUCUCUGGAAGUGAGGCAAGUGAUAUAUGCUUUUCAUUGUCAAAAGUUAUAUGCUCGUACACCUGAAGCGACAUUACAAAAUAGAAGUGAACAAAAUUGCAAAAGAUGUAGAGGAUAAAAUAAAGUUGGUCAACUACUAAUUAUUUACUCGUGAACCUAGAUUUCUCACCAAUAUAGACACAUGAUAUUAUAUCAGAAGCCAUUGUCUGGUAAUGAAAAAUGUUUACUUACUGAGAAAGGAUAAAUUAAGAAGACAAAUCAUUUGUCAAAGAAAUUCAUGUAGACAUAACUUUCAGUUGAUUCAACUAUAUCUGUGGAAAGUAUAGAACAAUAACCACGUAAAUAAGGACUAUGAUUCAUGCAUAAAGUUAAACCAGUUUCUAUGGAUAUUCAAAAACCUGAGAAUUCUAAAAUCAAAAUAGUAAACAUUCACAAGCACAUAGCCCAAAAUCAUUUUGUACAUGAAGCUCAAUCAGGCAAUUAGAUAUGCAACAUAAAAGGCAAGAAUGCCUCUUAGUGCCACAUUUGUGCCAAGAAAAAUCAUUUUGCACAUGAAGCUCAAAUCAGGCAAUUAUAAAAGGUUAUCAUACUUCAUCUGUAACAGCUAGAAUAUCCCAGGUUCUGCAAGCUCCAGCAAUAAUCUCAAGAUCAUCCUUGGUAAAAACUUUCCCUGUUGGGUUGUGAGGACUGUGCCACUUUGUAUCAGUCUCUUUUCUAAUGCAAUACAGGAUGCAUAAAUUCUUAAGAAUGAUGCUCAGUAAUAACUGGUCUGUUUUGCGCAACAGAACUCUACAAGGCAUGGUAUAUUAGAAAAAUAAAUGGUUCAAAAAUGACAAAUCUGAAUUUAUUUCAGGUCAAAUAAAUCUUCUUGCACCACUGAAAACCUACCAACUAAGAAAAGAAAUUCCUUUUCCACAGUCGUGUGGUGUGUUCUGUGAGGUUAUUUAAUUGAAUGAACGCAUACCUGUUGACCACUAGAGCUUUGGUCUUAGCAGUAAAUGAUUUUAUAAAUUUGUCUGGAUCAAGUUUCCAGCAUGGUGGAUCAAGGGGAACAUACACCUGUAGUUUAUAAUACAAUGAUGAGAAAUCAAUUGAGCACCAUCAGUCCAAAGCUGAUAAACCUGAAGGCAGAGAAGCUAUGGCAUAAAUUACUCUAAUUCCAUAUUUAACAAUAGCAUAUUACUAAUAACAAUAUGGGGAAGCUUACAGGGACUCCUCCGGCCAAUCUAAUACAAGUGUCAUAUGUCUCAUAUGAUGGAUCAAACAGUAUAACUUCAUCACCCUGAUCAAUUACUUGGGGGGAGAAACAAACAGAAAGAUAUUAUAGAUUUUAGCACCCAAUACUUCCAGGUUGACCGUUGUAAGAGAAAGAAAUUACAUAUAGUACACUUACUAGCAAACAUGGUUGCUGCAAAAGCCUCAGACUGGCCACAACAUAUAACUAUAUCUGUCAAAGGAUCAACGUCUAGGCCUUGCGUUUGUUUCAUUUUACAUGCCACAUACUCACAAAUUCCUUGAACGUGCCUUGAUUAAGAUUUGAGACAACUUUCAGUUUAUUAAGCUAGUACUGCUAUAGUACUAAUGCCAACCAAUGAAAUAGAUUUAAUAAAACAAUAAAAAAAGCGACCUGUACUGGUUGAAGUCAGAAUUGAUUGCAGAAAUGGCAGCCUCUUUGAUGUGAGAAGGAGCAGGGAAAUCCGGGAAACCUUGGGAAAGGUUGAUGGCGUUGCAGCGUUGGGCAAGCAAGGAUAAUUGUUGUAUGGGAGAGGGUGUUAUCGUCUUGGUCACAGCAGACAGCUUCUCCUCCAUGUCUAAUAUCUAAAUCUCCACUGCCAGUGCCUGUUGGCUUAGCUUUACCUCACCUUAUCAGCUUAUUGUUCCAGGUUGGUUGCCACUGCAGUUUGUCUUGGUUCUGCCAUUGAAUAACUCUUUCUAUUCCAAACACAACGUAGAGUUAGUUGCUUGCUAGUUGCUGCCACUUGGUGCCUGGUGCUCCUCCUUUGGACAUUGAAUUUUGUUAUUAUUAACUAUUUACCAUACUAACGAAUCAAAUUUAUAGCUAUGUGUUUUUGUCUUUUGGUUCUUUAGGUACUUUAAGCAUAGGAAACAAUUUUUCACUUACAGUUACAUCUCAUAAAGAUACGAUACAACUGUUACAUUUAAAGUUAUAGCUAUAUGUUUGCUUUAUUUGAUUGAUGCAUUGUAGUUAGAGUCCACAAUAUUUCAGUAAAUUCUUGAGGGAAUUGGUUACUCACAAGUAAUUGAAUUCCAAUUUUUAAUGGAUUUCGAAAAGGGUAAAGAAAACAGAUAAAGGUUCAUGACAGAAAAAUAACCAAAGGUGAACAUGUUAGAAAUUAAUAAUCUAAUGAUAAAAACGAAUGCAACAAACAAAUUUUUUCGAGUACGCACCUUUUAGUCAAGUAGUGCUUGAAAACAUCAAGAGCAAUAUGCUUCAAUGUCUUCAGAUACUACUGAAAUUACUAUUAAUCUAGCCCUAAGAAAAUCUUAUCAAUUUAGAAUGUCAAAAGUUCAGAUACAUUGGCAACAAUCGAAAGAUACAGCAUGUCUAGUUUUUAUCUCUGAUAGUACUCAUUAUUAAAGGGAUUGCAGAACAUUAAGUACUAACUUUAAUUUAUUAGAUAGUUUCCAAGUACAAUGCAACUAACAAUUUAAGCUUGAAGUUAAACUCAUGUUAAUCGAGUUCGAGCAACUAGAAGAUCUUGCUAAACCUGAGUUCAUGUUUCAAAGCUUAAUAAGCUGCUCCUCUUAAGAAUACAUCAUGCAACUCUGACAAAGCCAAAUAUGUACAAUCUAAUCCACUUCUAGCCUAUAAAAACACAUCUUAAACAUUACAGCUACAUUUGAGGAAUUGAGGAUUACGACUAGAAAUAGGAUGCCCGCUCAUCCCGCUUAGAAAAUUGUUAUUUCAAAUUAUCUAGGUCCAGCUCUCAGGAUGCCUACCCUUGCAUAUGUUUAUUCUUGUGUUACGUCAAGACAGAAUUGCAUAAGCGCUAGCCCCAAAGAGUCCCAGACUAUUUACAACAUCAAACACGAAGACAACUCUGUUGAGUAAAAUAUCAGGGUUUAACUAUAAAGUAGCAUAAACUCAGAAAUGACGAAACAAAUUAUAGUUCAACUCCAAAGAUUUAGUCUUUGCAAAAUGGACUAACAUAAAAGAUGACAUGAUCAUUCCAUUCUCACAAAGACUACUCCCCAAGUAACCUCUGGCAUUGAAAAAUAAAAAAACUGCAGAAAAUCACAAACAUAAGUAGGCACAUACAUCCAAGAAUUCCCAGUUCACUUCACUGCGUGAAAUACUACUAACUGGGCUUCUAUUAACAGUCAAAAAACACAAAUUCUUAAUUUCAGAUAGCAGCUUUUCUUCUAUGGUACGGAGAUGAAGACCAGGAGCAAUCAACUACAAAUGCAUGGGCUUACAGCAUGAGCAGGGGAAGAGGAUGUGGACUUACAAAGUGGACAGCUUUACUCCUUAUUCCGAUCUCAUUAUUCUUUUAUCGUCUUCUUCUUGUUCACCUUUUAUCCCAGUUUGUGUUUCUACGAGUCUCGUACAAAUAGAUGAUGCUGAUGAUAAAGCUUUUCACCUACCUGUCCUCGUGCGACACCGCUUGGAUCCUCGGUGACAUGUUUCUCUAUGCCAACCCAAUGCCACCUAUAAUAUUGCGUCAAGUGUCCUGUUAUUAUUUACACUUGUAUUAAACCAAAUCAAGUUGAAUUAUUAGAAAAUUAAAGUGUAAAUAAUAACAGGACACUUGACGCAAUAUUAUAGGUGAUAUUGGAUUGGCAUAGAGAAAAAUGUCACCGAGGAUCCCAAGUGAUGCGACACCUUUCUCCUGGGAUGAUUUCAGAAACCUCCCUUCAAGUUUCCAACAAUUUCAUUUGGCUCCCAUCAAGUUUAAAAAAUUAUACUUACCUCCCUUGACAUAGUAAAAUACUUAUAAUGCCAUCCAUUAGGUAGACAAUGUUAAAUUUAAGACAAUAAAUUUGUAAAACUAAAAACAAAAUCUAUUUUUCCGUCUCUUAUCUAUUUUCACUCCUUUCGUUUCUAGUUAAUACAACGUCUUUUUGUUAUCUUCGAUUUUGUGGAUAUUAACAAACUGAAAUUACAAAAUCAACAGAAAGAGCAAAUUAUGUGUUAAACUAGAAGAAAAUGAAGAGAUUCUUGGAUGUAAGUGCAAUGAAGAAAUUAUGACAAAUUACACAUCUUUAGCUUUUUUUCCUGUUUCAAUCAUCAAUUUCAUUGUUGGAUGAGAUGUAAAUGCAAUAAAAAGAAAUUGCAGCAAAUAAGUAAUUUUACAAUUUUGCAAUGAUUAAUAUUCGAACUCUUGGAUUGUAAGGGGCAACAAGACAACAAGAUAAGAAACACAAGUUUAAGAGCAAAAGGAGCAACUUAAAAAGGAAAUUAGUAGAAGAUAUUGUAGCAAAUCAUAAUAAAUUCUAAUAUUAAAAGGCACUCUUAUAAUUCAUCAACAUCAUUAAUAUAAAGAAUCAAUAUUAUAGAUUACAAUAGAAAAGCGACAAUCAGGAUUUUGAAAUGCAAAAGAAAUCUAAAUAAGCUAUAUUUGCUUCUAAUAUCUUGCCCUUUUUAUUCCUUUUUAUUUCUUUUUCCUUUAUCCUCUGCAUAUUUGCAUAAUAUCAAUUUUUUUUUUUGUGUGUAUGAUUUUCAGAAUGGCCUCAAUUUGGACAUGUAACAUUGGUGUUGCUAUAUCAUUUUCAAAUGGGCCUUGACUUGGGGUCUUGUAAUAUUUUCCUUCAUCAUUCGUGUAACAUUUUCUUGAAAUGAAAUUACUCGUUAGUUUGGUUUUCAAGGCAUUGAACUUUGGCAAGUGGCUUGACAUUCAGGAAAUGAAAUUUGAGGAAUUUGAUGAAGACACGAGUGAAACUUCAAACAAGUCAAAAUCAGCCGUAACAAAACUAUCGCCACAAUUCACCUUUGAGUGGAGAGGAAAAAAAAAAAGAGAACACCUUAAGAACGUAGACUACUUACUUUUGGGAAAUCUUCUGCAAAAAUCCUGCAAUUUCUUGAUCGAUGUGAACUUUAUUGGUUGUGCCCAAGACCAAAAACACACCAAAAUUGUCCACUAUUAUUCUUAUACGUGUGCAUUAACUUCAAAAAUUGGUUAAUUUCAGCUCAAGAUAACAAAGGAACAUUAACCAAAAAAAGCUGCACUUAAAUUAUUACCAAACAAGUUCGUUGCAAACACUCAGCCCAAAAUUGGCACUUUAUAUACAAGGCAGAGCAAAUCUUUACAGCUGAAAAGUGGCUUCAACAUAGUAUAUUUAUAUUUUCUAGUAUAUGUACAUUAAUCUUCCAGCCCCAAGUUUGUGAAUCAGCGGUACAAGAGCUGGACUUGAGAGAAUGUUACAUAGAAUUGCAAGUCAACCUGCUACAAGCGCCAAAUUCCUGGUGCCUCAGUGCGCAGCAGCGAGACCAUCUCUUCAUACUUUGAAGGGUAUAUAAAACCCCAUAACUGCGUAAAACAUGAAGCAGUAUUCCAUCAUUUGGUGUUCUACUGGACAGUAAUAAUUCCGUAAUCUUGCCCCAUGGGAGAGACAGACAUACCAACUCAACUUGAGGUGGGCAACUAAGCUUAAUCAAUCAGAUCAAAUCAAUGAAAGACGUUCAGACAUGAAUACAACAAAUGUGAGCGUGAAUAGGAGGGGGGAUGGGAGUACCUCAACUUCCUUCACAUCAAAAUCUUGGGUGUGUGCUAGACAAGAGUUUCCAUAAGUUUCUGAAGCUGAACUAGAUCCGGUCAAUCUAGAAAACCCAGAUUGAAGAUUAGACACAUAAUCACAUGUGUCAGGGAAGAAAGAUAAUUUUGCAGCUGUUAAUGGUGUAUUUUGGAUCUAUGUGACCAGUAAGCUAACUGCCAGAUAGAGGGGGAAACUAGAAGUGAAGCAAUCACAAGUAUAUAUGGUGAGUAGAAAACUCACAGAUCGCCAUCCAAGUACAGAGCAAAAUGACUGCCACCACCCAGAGCUAAAUACUCAGGCGAGCACAAGGUGAAAUAGCGGUUCAUACCUGCUUGGCAUAGAUGGCAUAGAUGGCAUUUUAAAACAAUCAACCUCAAAGAUACACAAACUAACCUGCAUUAAAAAAAUGAAAAAAAAAAAAGGACCAACAAAGGAAAAGAUUGAUAGGAAUAAAUUGAACUAGAUGCGGCAAUCUUUCAAUGAUUCUAUCAAUAUCCAUAAAGCCAGGCACAAGACAACACAGCUGCAAUUCAAUGUUGUAGGUCUACUAAAGCUAAUUGCUUUACUCAGCCAUAUUAUAACUACCAUAUCAUUCCAAAAAAAGAAAGAUGCCCUAUGUUCUCUAGUUUUAUAUUGUCCUUUUGACACUAGGGUAAAGACAACUUAUGUAGUAAGAAGAUGAAAAGUUUAACUCAAGCAGCAGUAGUUUGGCUAGAAAAAUGUCAAGGGCAUGCACCAUUUGAUCUCAGAAGCUCAAAAUGAAAUGUCAGUCAUCUGGUGCUUUUAAAUUACAGAUACUUCCCUUGUUAGCCUUUUCAAGUUACUCACUAUUUUACCCCUCCAAUCUAAUUUCACUAAACUCUCCAUCAUAGAAAAGGUUGACAUCGGAAUCGAGGAAAAAUUUACAUGAAAGGAUAAGAAACCUGAAUGAAAUUUAUCAUAAGUACGAAAAACAGAGGUCUAUAAUAUGGAAAACCUCAUCAAAGACGGGAAAAAUAUACCCCUAAAAAUAUUUGGACAGAGUCAAAGCGUCCUGCCAGUGGUCAUCAGCUUUUCAGUAGAAGAAGUAUUAUUCAACUAGAUAACUAAACUCUAAUUAAUGCAUUAAUAAAUCAAAACAAACAAAAAGUUACAUAUCUCUUCAGAAGUUUCUAAAAUAUGGCAGCCCAAAAAGCAAUAUUAAUACCUGUGGGAUGGAAAAUUGCAGGAUCACCAGAUAUGUUUGUGAAAACAAAUGAAUUAUUGCUGCCCUGUUUCAAAUUGAAUGCUGUCUUAAAAUGACAUAGACAAAAUAGUAUUUGGUGCUAAGAUACCGAACAUAUGAGGUCAUUCAUCCCACCUGAUAUCUUUUCUUGCUUGUAGCUCUUAAGGGUGCCUCAACUAAACCACCAAAUACAGCACCCUUGCGGUCUCCCACAACCUAAAUAAUCAGGUUGAGAUUGUGAGAGAGACAGAGACAGAGACAGAGACAGAGACAGAGACUUUAAAACUGAUUAUGGUGACAUGUAAAUGACACUCAUAGUCCAACAGUUUAAUAAUUUGCACAAAUGAGGUCCACGAAUCCAUUUUGCAGCUUCUUGCAGUUACAUGCAUAGAAAAUAUUUUCACUAAAAUAGCCCAGUUGCAUUAAUUUUGUGUAUAUGAAAUCCUCAAAUUUAGCAAAAAUAACUAGUACAAGAACCAGAAUCAGACUCUCCUAGUACCAAAUAAGGUGGAAUAUAUGAUACCUAACAAAUUAAUAAAUCUACAUUUACAUACACAUUUAGCAUUUAUAUGUCGACCCGUGUUCAUGGUGAGGUCUGUAUACAAAAAGAGAGUGUGCUUGUGUGUGUCUGUGUGUUUCUGCAACAAAUGAAAUAAAAGGAGGGGAUAAUAGUUUAACUAAAUCCAGAUUUUUCUCGAAACACUAAUUUUAAAACAAAAAACAAUGGAUGCAAAUUACAGUGGAUAGACUAAAGCCUUCAGCUAACAAACAUAACAUAUAACUCAAGUAUUCUCAAAAGGUCCACCAGGUGGCAGGCCAAUCAACAGCUAAGUUUAGACAUCAUCCAUGCUUAUGUGCCAUGAAUUGUAUAAAUAGUUUCAAGUAUAGCACAAACAACAAGCAAAGUUCUGAGUUAUAGGCCCAAUUACCAGCAAACUGAGACCAGGCCAAAGCAUGCUUCUUCUAUAUAAAGUUGAAAGUGAUAUACCAUGUCUCCAUGUACUGCAGAAGGCAGAAUACUGAAAUUAAAUAUUCUAUAAUGUGAAUAGCCAACAAAAAAGCCAGAUAUCUUCUUAAAAUUCAAAAAGGUUAUUUAUAUCUUGUAAUAAUAUGAUUCUAUGUUCUUGCACCUGUAUAAUAACAACCAUUUCCUCCCCUGAACAAGAACAGGCAUAGAAGCAAAUAGAACGCUUCGAGUCUUUUCAGAGAGAAGCAAUGAAGGUUCAGAAGUUUCUGGAAUCUCGUCCAAAGGCAGUGGCUCAUCCAAAUUUUGUGUAGACAUCUCUUCAUCCGCGGAAACUUUAGAUUUAUUUGCAUUGUCGACCACCAUUUGAGAGCUGCUCUUUGCUGAUCCUUGACUUCGAAAGCCAGGUAAUCUAGCAGAGUGGUAGAUUCUGUUAAGGGAUUGUUUACCCCUAGAGAAUAAACUUCUUUUUCUGCCACUAUCUCUCAGUAUCGGCACAUCUGACGAUUCAGCCAGGUCCUCCUGGUACGCAUUUUCCCCAGCAGAUUCGGGCCUUCGACCAGACUCUGAAGAUGAAAGUAAGGAGACUAGGAAUGCAGUAAAAGAAGAUGUAUCAGGACCAUCACCAGAGUCCUCAGAAUCCUCAUCCUCAUCUGACACGGAGUCUGCUUUACUACCUCCAGACUCAGAUUUUUCUUCCUAUUAAAACCAAUACCAAAUUUCUAUAAGCUUCAUUAAUGUUUUAUCUCUGAGAGGGCAAUUAAACGUGACAAUAAACUGCUCCUCUUAAGAUGCUGUAGAACGUAAGAAACGUUAUGAAAAUCUGUUAAGUUCAAACAUGGAAAAGUAAUCCACCUUUAUCCCAUAAAAACAUAUUAUAAACAUUACAGUUACAUUUGAGGCUUUAGGAAUAGAAAGAGGAUGCCCCUGCAUCUCAACUCAAAAAAGAAUUAUUUCAUAUUAUCUACAUUAGGCUCUCAGGAUGCCUACCCUUGCAUACAUUAAUUUGUUUAUUACAUUAAAUAAAGCACUACUGCAGUACUAGCCACCAGAGGCCUGGACUAUUGAUGCUUUUACAACCUCAGGGCUCAACAUGAAUACACUUCUGUCAAGUAAAAUAUCCGCCUUUGCAUCCCAUGACUGCGGGGGUUCAACUUUAAAGUAGAAAAAACUCAAAAAACCACGAAAAAUUUGUAAUUCAACUCCUAACUUUUAGUAUUUGCAUGAUGGACUAACAUACAAAGAGAACGCCAUUCUUCCAUUUUCACAAAGAAUGCCCCCAAGUCACCUCCGGGAUUAAAGGAAUAUAAAUGGACUAACAUAAACAAAGAACACUAUUUUUUUCAUUUUCACAAAGAAUCCCCCUAGCUAGCCUCUAGCAUUAAAACCUAGCAGUACCCUUCUCCUCUUUUCAAAGCCAUAAAAUAUAGUCAGACUGCAAAAAAGUUACAGCUAAAAAUGGUAAAAACGUGACUAAAACUUCACUUCAGAAACCACCAGAAUCCACAGCAGAAAACAAAUAGGGAAUUAAAAAGAAAAGAACUUCAAAACCAACAAAUAAAAAUAAACCCAUUACGACCAUUAAUUCCCACUUCACUCGGGAAUAAAAAAAUCCUAACUGGGCCUUCAAACAAUAUAUAAAAACAUGAAAAUUUAAAACCCAAAUGAUCAGAUUAUUGAUAUAUAAUAAAAAGAAGCAGCUUUUUCUUCUUCGUUGAAUGGGUUGGGGGAAGAUUAUAGCACAAAAUCAUACUAAAAUCAUAAAAUAAUAAUAAAUAUUGACUUACAGGGUGAGCAGGGGUAGUGGAGGUGGGUUUGGAAGAAGGUUUGUCUGAAAUGGGGUUGAGGAGAACUGUGGUAAGAUCAGAUACAAAGUGGGCAGCUUUACUCCUUAUUCCCAUCUGAUUAUUCUCUUCUUCUUCUUUCUUUACCUUUUUUGAUCAGUCUCCAACAGAUAGAUGAUGCUGAUGAUCAAGAUUUCCACUAUCUCUCAACAUUCCAUAUUUUUAAUUUUUUUUUUGCCUUUUUUUGUACACUACUUUCUUUAUUUAUGCUGCAGCAGCUGCUUGUUCAGAUGUCAUGGUUUUCUCAGUCAUCAACUACUAUCAAGAUAGCAUAUUCAACAUACCCUCUUUCAUUUUUUAUUUUUUUUUUUACAUUUUCGUAUAUGCCUUUUUUUAAUUCACAAAAAAAAAGGGUUUAUUCUUUAUUGCUGCUGUUUGUUGGGAGCGGAUGAGGACGAGUAUGCUUCAAGCGACCUCAAAAUUUCCUUUUCUUUUAUGUAGCUCUACAUUGUUAUUAUUUAUUCUUUUUGUCGCUUAACAUGUAAGACUCCAUGGCCCAAUGGAUAAGGCGCUGGUCUACGGAACCAGAGAUUCUGGGUUCGAUCCCCAGUGGAGUCGGUUUUUGCUUUUCGCCUUCAUAAAUGGGGUCGGGUAAUGUUUUGUCCCAGACGUGGUCCAGUGCCAUUGAUCCAAAAUGCAGGUUUGAAGUUGGACUUGAUGGUUCUUGGACGUAGUUUUCUCCCAAUUAUAACAAAAGCAGAUUGGGCCAGUGUUGACUGAUUUUGGGAAAUGGAACUUGAUGACAGUGAAAUAUGAGUGUAAUAAAAUUAAUGUUAAUACUGUGUGCAUUGCUCGUGUGUAAUAUUUGAAUUUUAAAUUUAAAUUUAAAUUUUUUUAACAGAAAAGAUGACUGUUAAUUGAUUGAUGAAAAUUGUUCAACACGAAUUGCUUUAGAAAAUCUAGUGAAAAAUUUCAUAGGGAAUCCAUAAAGUUAGAUGUUUUUAACAUGAAAAUGAAAAGUUGAUUCAUUAACAUUGCUUGCACCCCUAAGAGCCUAUUUUACUUCAUGUAUAUUAAUAAUGGAUAGCACAUCUUGCAGGAUAUUAAUAAUGGAUAGUGCAUCACCCUUUAAAUUAGAGGUGGCAAAUCAACCCAUUUAAUUAGAUUUACCCAUACCCGCCCAUGAAUAGAUGGGUAUGGGUAUUUUAAAUUUUUAUAUAUGGGUAUAAAUGGGUUACCCAAUAAUACCCAUUUAUUAAAUGGGUAUUAUUGGGUAACCCAUCAAACCCAAUUAACCCAUUUAAAAUUCUCUUCCCCCCAAGUCUCUUCUUUUCCCCUACCUUUUUUUUUUUCAAAAUUUUCAUUUUGUCAUGAUGUUAACAUUAUUAUUAUUAUUUGUUGGUUUUAUCUUAUUAUUUUAUUUUUUCUUAGUUUGUUAACUUGCUCAUUUUUUAGCAUUACCAAUUUAUGAUAAAUUUUAGCCUAUUUUAUUAUCUUUAUAAAAUGAAAUUUUAAAUUUAUAUAUGAAAAAAAUGUUAGGGGUUCAAAAUUUUUGGAUUAAGUUUUUAUAGUACUUAAUUCAAAUUUUUAUAUUCGUAUUAUUCAAUUAUUAAAUAAUAGGUAAUUUUGUGACAUAGAGUAUAAAUGAAAAAAAUUGGUAAUUAAGUUUAUUGAACAUUAUAAGUAAAUAUUUAAAACUAAUGAUGGGUACAAAGAGUGGUAUAAAUUAAUAACUUAGUUUGUAAAAAUGAAUUUAAAUGAGUUUGCAAAAAGUUAAAAUAAAUGAGUUAUAAAUGGGUAAUUGGGUUACCCAAUUCAUUUUUUGACUUGCCCAUUUAUACCCAUCUAAUUAAAUGGGUAUAAAUGAGUUGACUCACUUAUACCCAUUACCCAUUUUACCCAACCCAAACCCGCCCAAGUCACCCAUUUUGACACUUCUACUUUAAAUUCAAAUUAAUUGUCUAGAAGAUUAAUUAAUCCAUAUAAUUCACUUUUAUCUUCAAAAGAAAAAUGUCUUUUAUCUUUGGAUUAAAUCUCUUUAUCAGCAUCGAUCUCAUGUGCUCAAACUUUAUUAUGAUGCUAAAAAUCAAAACACUUCAUGAUCUUCGAUUAUUAAUCUUAUACUGUCAAUCGCUACAUUUUUUUACCAUUGCACAAAGUUUAUACAUUACAAACUCUCCCACAAGUAACCAUUCAAACACACACAUACUAUUUAUUAGUACAAACUCCACAUACAUAUUGUUUGAUGCUUAGUGAAAUUUAGGUAAUUUACUUCAUCUAGGGACACCUGCGCCGGCCACCAUGGGUAGUCAUUGAGAAGUAGCAAGGGCAGAAGAGUUUCUGGCUCCCAAAAGUGCCUGGAGGCAGGCAGCUGCAGCGAGCACAGCAAGUCCCACAAGCCCUCUUGCAGAGCUUCUGCCUUGAAGCCAAAGCACACCUUGCAGCACAAGCUUGUCCACAAUCUAGUGUUCUAGUUGUUUUCGUGUAUCUUUCUUCAUAAAUUCUUGGAGGGCAAAAUUCAAUAUGCAUGGUGAAUGAAUUCUUGGUGAGUAUAUGAUUACUAAUUGGUCACACAGGCACCAAUAUGAUGAGACAGUGAAAAAAGUUGGAAUUUUUGAUGCAGCUGGCAUGCCAUAAAUAGUGUGACUAAUUGGUUACUACUGUUGAUUUGUUCAGUCUCAUGUAAAUUUUAUUGAAGCAUCAUGGAUAUAAUUUCAUUUGUGGACUACACUCUUCUGAAAAUGUGGUUUGCAACCAAUUGCCACUAAAUCUUCUGGCAAUUAUGUUAGUUUAGGUAAAAUCUGCUCUAAAUCUAUCCAAAAAAAAAAUUUUGAUGAAUAAGUUGAGGUUCUAGUAUCACAUUCUCUAUUGUCUGUAGAAAACUUUCUAUCACAUGACUAAUGCAAACUGAUGUACAACCUACAAAUAAUAUAUAUCAAACAAAAUUUGGCAGACUUAGCUGCUCAACUUGAAUAAAUUUAGUAUGCAAACUAGAGAUUCAGGCAUGAAAAAGACUUAGGAAAAUAUUCUUUACGCUCCCAUUGUCAUUUUAAUAAUAUAAUUUUUAUUUAUUAAAUUAUAUGAUAAAACAAAUGAUGGGGUGCAAAUAAUAAAGAAAGGAGUGCAAAUAACAUUCUCCUAUAUGCAUUUCGAAAUAAUAAUUGAAUCUGAGUCAUGGGUCGUGGCUGAUUGGAAAUAAACAUGCAUAUGGUUCAUACUUAUCGUUGGGGUGAGAAAACUAUCUGAACUGUUGCUACUGAUCUGUGUGACAAAAAAAGAAAAUAACGUGUUAGCUACUAAAACUACAACAAGAGAAAGAUAAGAGUAAAAGGUGAAAAAAAUAAAUAAAUAAAUGGUAAGUUGUACCUUAAGAUCAUCACGAUCGGCUUCAACAAGAAGAAAAACAAGAAAAGAAAGUAAAAGUGUCAAGGGAAGCUUGGAAGUAGCCAUGAUUCUAAGCUUUUGCUGUCCUCUCUAGUUAAAAAGAAAGAGAAAACGAUUUAGUAAUUUAAUUGAAAAGUAAAAGGCAGAAGACGAAAAAAUCAUUCUUUUUUUUUUUUGUCAAAGAUAGACAAUUAAUUAGAUUAAAAACACUCAGGAGUUAACAGAGAAACCGGCCCGAAAGCAAUCUAAGGAGAACCCAUCAAAAACCCACGUUCAGCCAAGACAGAAACGAGGUCCCUAUGAAUCUUAAAUUCAGAGUAAAUACCCUACUAUCUUCCGAUGUGGGAUGGUUACCCAACCCCCCCUCCCGAGCACAUCCUCACCAAAUAAUUGAUUUUUUUUUUUGUCGAAGAUAGACAAUUAAUUAGAUUAGAAAUACUCAGGAGUUAACGGAAAAAUCGGCCCGAAAGCAAUUUAAGAAAAACCCACCAAAAACCCACGUUCAGCCAAGACAGAACGAGGUCCCUGCAGAUUUUAAACUCAGAGUAAAUUGCUUUCGGGCAUUCAAAUUGCAUGGAUAUUGGCAAUAGCUUUAUUAAUCUGCAUGGAUGUGGCAGUUAUAGAGCUGAGUCAGCAAACCGGAGGGUGAAUGAGAUAACGCUUGCGGACUUGAGUAGCUCAUGCUCAUCAAGCAAUUUGCUUUUAUAUAUAUAGUUUUAAUUUUUAUAUACAUCUAUAUCUAUAUGUAUUCAGGAAGGGGUUUUUAGCAGAAAUCCUCUCAAUGACUUAUAAACUUCUCAUUCUUUUUUUUAGAUUUUUGUAUUUAUUUUAAUAUAUAAAAUGUAAUUGGUUAUAACCCACCUUAUCACCCAUCAAUAUUCCCACUAUCUCACUCCCACUAUCCCACUAUCUUAACUCAUCCUACAAUCACUCCUACAAAUUCUUUUUUCCCACUAUCCCACUAUCUCACUCCCACCCUCUCUCAAUUUCUUAUUUGUUUUUUAUUCUCUAUUCAUUUUGUAAAUGUAUUGAUUUUGUUUCUUUUAUAAGCAGUAGUGGAAGAUAUUAUGUGCAGAGAUUUCAGCAAAACUCAACCUUCUUGCGGAUAAUUGGAAGUAUAUUCUUACCAACUUAAUUUUCCAGGUCGGUCCCCUCUGCUUUUUAAGUAUGUUUUACUUUUGUUUUGCUUUUUGUCAUGAAUGAUAUUGCAUUGAUUUUCUGAUCAUCCAUUAUUUCGAAAAAUUUUUUACAAAAUUCUAAGAACGAUUAUUUGUUUAUUGUUACACUGUAAAGCAAAGAUAGUCAAUAGUGGGAUAAAGUAUAAACACAAAAUCACAAUCACAUUUCUAACAUAAGGUAUUGCUUGCUUAUAUAAUUGCGGAUGGUAUAUGUUCAUGAUUGAGGGUUUUACUAUUUCUAAUAUAAAUUGUAUAUUAUAAAAAUUUAUUUGUUUGUAUUAAUGAAAUUUUUUAAUUAUUUUUUAUUGCACAUUUAUCACAUAAAAAAGGUGUUACGAUAGUUAUUUUCAUAAUUUUAUUUAAAAAAUGAUCGUGCAUGAAAUAAAAAAUAUUUUUGUUGAUAAUAAAAAAUAAUUAAAAAUAGUUUAUAAUUAGAGAAAAACAAUUCAGAUACUACUAAUAACUAAGGCACUAUACGCCAUUAUUAAAAUUGGAUUAAUUUUUAAUUUCGUCAGAAAUCGUUUUGGCAAAAUUGCAUUCUAACAUUUCUUUUCUUUAUCAUUUUCUCUCUACAUUGACUGCAAUAAUUUUCACUUCACUUUUAAUGGGUGGCUUUCAAAAUUGGUAGAAAGAGAGUUUAUUAGCAUUCAAAUAACUGUUUUGUGUUGCAUCUUUUUGAGAUAAUAAAGAAGGCAUGAAACUUCUUGAAGAAUAGUAUCCUACUUUUUAGAGUUUGAAUCACAAUAUUACCUUCAUUUUUUGUAUUUUUGUAUUUUUGCAUCCACUGGAUUAGAAAAAAACGCGUCCUUCUAAGCUUGGAUUAUGUUCAGCAGUGAUGCCAAAGACCUAACGAUAUCUAUAUGAAAAGAAAAACCCAAGGGACAUAAUUAUAUAUCAUACCAAAUAUCAGAAAACUAACUGCAUAAAGGAAAUAAUUCUGACUCAUAUUUCGGCGCUCUACCUGACUCAAGACGGUGAUUUUUAAAAAAAAUUUGGUUUCUCUUGGUAUUUGAAAAAUUCUGAAUUCUAACUGAACUUAAACCAAAAGAAUAAAUUAAAAAUUAUAGAGGCUGCCAAAAUAAAAGACAAUAUUGAAUUGGAUAUUAAAAGAUGGUUUAAACAUAGUAGGGACUACGAACCAAAAUCUUUGAAAAAAAAUUCUGUAUCCAAAAAAAAAAAAAAAAACCUACAAGAACAAACUCAUUUUCCCAAAAAAAAAAAAAAGAAGCCUAUAAGAACAUACGCCCUUUUUCAAAUUUAAUAAUUUAUCUACAUUAUGAACAUAUUAUAAACUAAUACAUUCCUUUUUAUUUAAUAUUAAAAAUUGAUUUUAAAUAUAUAAAUGAUAGCAGAGAGAAUGAAGCAGUUAGCGACAUGUGAAAAAAUCGAAAAGGACAAAAGCAAUUAGAGGGAUAAUUUCGCACAAAAUUCGUGGGUUAAAGUGCAAUUUGAGGUAUAGAUGGGAGGCAUUUUAGUGCAUUUAUUGGUUUGUUUUCAAUAAGUAGUGGUUAGUUUUGCGGGGUUAGGGGGGUCUACAUGUACCAAAAUAUAUUUAUAUAGGGAUUACUUCAUUAACUAUGGGUGCUAAUAAUAAUUUUAUUGGUGCGUAAUUUUCAUUUGAUUACAAUACAAUUGUAUUAAAUUCUAUUGAUGCUACUUCUAUAUUAACUAUUGUAUUUUUUUGUUAACAAUUCUCAUACAAUGUAUCACUUACUACACAUAAAAUAAAUACAAAAAUUAUUUAUUUUUGAUUUAAUAUAUAUAUAUUUUUUCUAGAUCAAAAAAAACGAAAAUAUUGCCACUCUUCAAGUUCGACAGCCAUCCGCAUCACCAAUACUUUUGCGUGAUCAUGGUAAAUAUGCAGUUUUUUAUAUCGUCAAAGAACGUGCAUUUUCAUUUGUAGUACACACUCCACAAAAUUCAACAUAAUUAAUUAAAUCAUCAAUUUUGGCUUUCGUACUAAAAGUGGUUCAAGAAAAAUUAUCAAAUCGAAUGCUUAGUAUUUGUAAGUAUUUUACUUUAACAACAUUCAAUUACAUUCAUUUGUAGAAAUAUAUCAUUUCCUUUUUUAAUAUAAAUUUUAAUUUUUUUUUUCAGGAUCCAUUUUUUGAAAAAAGACAGUUCUUGAAUGAUAUACACAUUCUAUUAUAUUUCAAACUAUUAUUAAACAGAUAUUACAUUUAAAUUUUAUUGAUUCAAUUUUUUCACCUUUAUUUGUUCACCAUUUUAUUUUUUUCAACAAUGUUAGCACCGUGCGUAGCACGGGUAUUCACACUAGUUGUCAAUGUAUACGCUAUUAUGGUUGGAUGUAUAACACGUGAAUAAAUUUUAAAAUUUUAAAUUCAAAUUUUGCACAUAUGUCAUAUAUUUAAUGGUGAUAUUGUAUAUAAGAUUAAUUCAUAUAUAUAUAUAUGUAUGUAUGUAUUUAUGUAUUCAUAGCCUAUUUUCACUCUUUUUUGUUGGCUAGUUUAACUAUAAGCACUAAUAAGGGAUCUAUAUCUAUAUAAAUUUGAGAAGGGAUUUUUAGCAACAGACCUCCACGCACCUUCCCACCCUCAAUUAUAUUUUUCUAGCAUUUUAAAUUUAAUUUAUUUCAUAAAAUACAACAUGUCCAUAUGUGAAACACGCCAUCAUGUUUCCAUCAAAUAAGAAUUCCGCUCCAACUAACAUUCCUCCCUUCACAUACCUUCGUACUCCAAUUAAUACUCCUCUAAUUAACAAUUCCACUCCGAUUAAAAUUCCUCCAACCCAAUAAUAAAAGAUAACAACAUAAUCGUGGACAACCAUGUCAAUCUCAUUUUUGAAAAUAGUGUAUAUCCAUUACAAUGACGUAGUCGACACUAUUGUCAAGUGAUUAUUUUCACAUAUCUUUUAAUUUUAAUUAUAUUUUUUAUUUUAUAUCACAAUUUCUUCUUAACAUACAAGUUAGAGAUCCCGGUGGUAACCUAUAUCUCGCUCUUCAAGACAGGCAUGCAUGAUUCAUAUUUUGUUAUAAUUCUUCUUAUCUUAGAGAUUUAAAAGGGAAGGUAUAAAUUAUUUAUACAUAUAUAUUUUUAUACAAUAUUAUUUACAAACUUUCUAAAACAAAUGAUAAUUCUAAAUUCCGUAUGCUCUUAAUUGUUAGGAAAAUGGAGGUACCUUAUUUGACCAACACAUUAUUCAUGUAAAAAUCGUGCAUUCUCAUUUAUAGUACGAGAUUCACAAAAUUCAACAGAAUUAAUUAAACCCCCAAUACUGGCAUUCGUACUCAGAGUUGAUUAGUGUGAAGAAUGUUCCUACCUUCAUGAAAGAUUAUCAAAUCGAAGGCAAGAUAUUUGUAAGUAUUUCAUUUACUUAUCAAAUUAAAUAUUCAGUUACAUUUAAUUGGACACUUAUGUUACUCAAUUUAUAAUAUAGAUUUCUACCUCUUUUUUUUUUUUUUUUUUUUUUUUCAGGAUCCAACUUCCAUCAAUGUGGUAGUUUAAAAAUAAUGAGAAUGUUUUUAUCAUAUAUUGAACUAUUGCUACAAAAUCUCAUUUUUUAACUAUACUUUUGUGUACCCUAAAUUAUACGAACAAUUACACACAUUUAUUACUCUUUUCAAAUUCCUCCCUCGACUAUAAUUUUUUUCCAAAAAAAUGAUCUACUGUGCGUAGCAUAGGUGUUUAGACUUUAGACUAGUUAGUUUAAAUUGUAAGCAUUAGGACAAGGACUUUGAGACUGAAGAAACACUUCUUUUAAUUGAUGAUGUGUUGUAACUGAAGAAAAAUGUAUAAUGUAUUUUGAUAUACUAAAAAAUUUGAAACCCGUUUGGAUUGCUAUUUUUUGAAAUUUUUAUAGAAAAAUAUAUUAUAAUAAUUUGAUAUAUAUGAAGUAAAAAUAAUAACAUGCAUUCAUUGACUUCAUAUCAACCUGACCCGUGCAUAUGUCCGCAUGACUUUAUGUUCUUUUUUUUUCAUUUUUAUCUAAUUUUCAAAAGUUAUCUAAACAAAAGUUUCGGUUUGGUUCCCAAAGUAAAUUCAAAAUACCAUCUCCAAAUAUUUUUUCAGUCAAAAUUGGACUGCAUUCCACUGGGAUUCUACCACCAGUAAAUCUAAAAUGAAACAAAAUAAAAAAAAUCAUGAUUACUCAUAUAACCCCCAAAAACCAUACAUAUUCCACGGAAGAGCAUGUGAUUAUGUGAAUGAACAAUUGCAACCCAAAGUCCUACGAAUGAACACUCACUGGUGCAUUGCAUGGAGUACUUGGUUCUAAAUAUUUACAGCUUAUAUCCACGCCAUACUUUGUUGCGCUGCUGGUACUCCACGUCAUCCAAUCCAUCCCUCUGACUUUUGCCCUUAUUUUUCAUUAUCUUUAAACUGGUAAUUAAAACACCAAAAACGUUACUCACGUCUUCUCACCUUGGAUUCAUCGUUUUAUCCGUUUUUCCUCGUCACACUUGGCAUCCUUCCCCGCACUCUUUCUCUUGCUUCGUUACACCAACUGGACCACUAUACUUACUUGUCCCGUAAAUCAAUUCAUCCCCAGUCUCUUGUUACAGAAACACACACUACACACAAUAACAGACACACAAAAGAACCUGAAUGGCUACAUUGCGAGUUCCUGCAUCUGUACCUCCUGCAGAUGAGGACUGUGGGCAGCUUAGGAAAGCUUUUGCAGGUCCCUUUAAUUUCUUUCUUUCAUUGCUGAUCAAAUCUGUUACCUUUGAUUAUCUGUAAUUCUUAUGGUACUGUGUAGACGAUCUGUUAAUUUUAGAUGUACUAUGCGAGUUUUGGCAAUGGCCAUUUUAGUAUGAUGAUUUCAAAGAAUGUUUUUCUGGACUGGCUUCAAUUUUGAAGUUUUGAACAUGAUCCUAGUAAGGUUUUUAAAGAUCUAAGUUUUUUGGGACUUUUGAUCAUCUCUCGAUAUGAUUAAUGAUCAGUGUGUUUUGCUUUCGGUAGUGAUAUAAGCGUGGUUUUAUCCUAUUCAAUUUAAAUAGUGUGAUCUGUUGGAUUACAUGGUUCAAAGACUCGGCAAAGUCUGGGUUGACUCAACACCGGAACGGAACUCAACUCUCCGAUAAGACACCCGGAUAUGCCGAGAAUUCGGUCGAGACGGAUAGAAACAGCCGAGUCGCCUGAGUCGUCCCCACAACUCGAAUUUUUAUUAUUUUUGCUAAUUUCGUAGUUAGCCAAUGUCCUCCUAAAUUGGAACCUUGUUGUUCCAAUUUGUGCUGUUACUAUCUUCUUUCUACUAGUUGUUUCUCUGUUGUUUGUGUGUAACAAAAUGUACUACUAUUACCUAUUCUUGAAGUUCUUUAGGAAACUAAUGCACUAACAGGCCAUUUGCCCAACUUGAACGAAAUUUUGAUAGAAAUGGAGAUGAUUGUAAAUAUCAUACCUCUUGUUUUGUAUAUGACAAAAAUCAGACAUGAGGUGUUUGAAUAUAUUACAGGAUGGGGAACAAACGAGGCCCUAAUUAUCCAGAUCCUGGCUCACCGAAAUGCAGCACAGCGUAAGUUGAUUCGGGAAGUAUAUGCUGCAACUUAUGGAGACGAUCUUCUGAAAGAUUUGGAUGCUGAACUUUCUAGUGACUUUCAGGUGACCUUCAGACUCUUAUGCUUUGUUUGAAACUAUGUGAAAACAUGUGUCGUUCAUUUCCCAACUCAGGGCUUUAUGAUUUAUUAUCUUGCUUGGUACUUCAGUUUUGUGUGUUUCUAUUAUCAUCGUCUUUCCCCCUCUUUUUCCUUGUUUUCUUUGAUUUGUUAUCAUCUAAAAUAGUUUGAAUUGCAAAUGUUAUGCCCUGGCUGAUAAGACUGACAUUGUAGGCUCUCCAUUAGCAUUUAAGGACACUUACGUGCAUGUUCAAAACAGCGUGCAGUACUGCUAUGGACACUUGAUCCAGCUGAGCGUGAUGCGCUCUUGGCUUAUGAAGCUACAAAGAGGUUGACUGCUAGUAAUUGGGUUAUCAUGGAAAUCGCUUGUACCAGAUCUUCACAAGAUCUCUUCAAGGCGAGGCAGGCCUAUCAUGCUCGCUACAAGAGAUCCAUUGAGGAAGAUGUUGCAUAUCAUACAGCUGGGGACUUCCGUAAGGUAUUACAGGACGCUUUCCAUGUACUUCAGUUGUGUGAUCAUAUGAAUUUGAUUCAACAACCUUUCCUAGUUGGUGAAACUACAAGUUUUUGAAGCAUGGAUCAAGCUUCUUACAAUGUAUAACACCAUCCCGUGUAGUGAUUAUGAUAAUUUUGAAUCCAUUAGCUUUUCCAAUGUAUUUCUACUAUAAAUCAUUUCACUCUAUUGUCUCCAAUGAAUUAUUUACUUGUGGUAUAUAAUCUAGCACUAUACAAAAUGCAUAGUAGUUCAUUAUACUUUCUGCAAAAUGCACCAUCCUUUUCUAUUGUGCUGAUGAAUUAGAAACAUUCUCUCAUUUGCUUUGUAUUAACUAACUUCAAAAACAGCUUUUGGUCCCCCUAGUGACUGCAUUCAGAUAUGAAGGAGAUGACGUCAACAUGACUUUAGCAAAAUCAGAAGCUAAGCUACUUCACGAGAAGAUAUCUGAAAAGGCUUACAAUAAUGACGAGAUUAUUAGGAUUUUGACUACAAGGAGCAAGGCACAGCUCAAUGCAACUCUCAACCAGUAUAACAAUGAGUUUGGGAAUGCUAUCAACAAGGUAUGUUGUAGUUCACUACUUAUGUUCCAAAAACAAGAGUGCAAGUUAGUCUGCAAACAUGGAGUUUGCUGAUGUGUCUGAAUACUUUAGCUGAAAUGUGCUAUUAAAAUAUACAGUGGACCUGUUUUAUGCAAAUUAUUGUAUUGAUGUCUAUGCCUCUUUAUUCAUAGACUCAAAGUUAAUUCUGCAAAGACGCAUACCUUAGUGGAACUUUAUUAAUCUUCUGCGCAAAUUUAUGUCUUGAUAUCUAUGCCUCUUUAUCCAUACAAGUCUGAUAGUACUCAUAGGACUCUAUUCGACACUUAUGGCAUUUGCCAUAUAUAUUCAGUAAUUGUCUUGUUCGUGCAGAAUCUGAAAGAUGAUCCUAAAGAUGAGUACCUCAAAUUACUUAGAGCAACAAUAAAGUGCCUGACGAGUCCCGAGAGAUACUUCGAGAAGGUUCUUAGAUUGGCUAUCAACAGAGUGGGUACUGAUGAAUGGGCUCUCACUCGUGUUGUGACUACUCGAGCUGAGGUUGACUUGCAGCAUGUCAAAGAAGAGUAUCAUAAAAGGAACAGUGUCCCCCUGGACCGUGCAAUUGCUGGAGACACUUCUGGAGACUAUGAGAAAAUGCUUCUGGCUUUAACAGGGCAUGGAGAUCUUUGAGUAGCUCCUUGUUCUGGCACUUUAAGAGCUUUUUAUGUACGAAAUACAGUCAUUAAUGAGUUUUUAAAGUUCCAUGACUUUGAAACAUGAACUUCUGCUGGUUUGGUCAGUUAAUGGCCGGAGAAACUGUGUGCUGUUAUCUAUGAUUGGUUCAGAGUGUCCUUUAGAAUUCUCUCUCUGGCUUGCACUUUAUGGUUAAAAGUCAAGCAACAUUUAUUACGCAUUACCUUAAAAAACUUGUUUGUAGGUAAUAACCUCAAUUAAUUGACGGGAUUGACAAGGCCAGUUAAUAUUUGAGCUAGAAAUGAUUCCUCCAUACUGAUCAUUCAUGAAAAUGUAGCGAUCAUGCAGAAAUUAGUACUGAGGUCUGCAAUCAGGUUAAGGCCAACCAAAUUGAAGCAAAUGUACUACUGUAUGUUAUACUACCAUGCUGUGUAGGCUUCAUUUACUGAUGCAGCAAAUGGGAGGCAAAACAGGAUGAGAUUUUCCCCAGGACAUUAGAGAAAGAGACCUUGAAACUCCUUCUCCUGCUUGAAUCAACCAUGAUCAGCUUGAUUUUCUCUUAGGUUGUUUCUCCAUUUGAGAGCUCAUUCGGCUCAAUCUGCAAAAUGGGCCUCAAAGGCUAGCAUGAUACACUCCGUCACUAGGAUGAUAUACUUGUAUUUCUCAAAACGCAAGUAUGAUAUACUCGUUACUGGGGGAGUUUGAAGACACUGAACGAAUGGGUUUUCUAUGAUUUUAUUACCCAAACUUGACUGCUAAACCAGCUUGGGGAUAUAUGGUCUGAUUUCCGAUUUGUGAAUAUUCUUAGACUAGCAUAAAUACAAUUAAUAUACGCACUAUUUGCACCGGCUUUCACGACACAAACAGAAGUGACAAUCUUUUUUAAGCCCACUCAGAUUGGCAAUUGGCAAAGCUGGCAUGUUGACAACCAAAAAAAAUUCUCCGUUCUAGUGAGCAAAUAGUGGCUAAUCAGAGGAGGGAAAUAAGUUCGAACCUAAUGGUUUGGCUUGACCAUGGUUCAACUUUGUGAUAAAAGUUGAACGUUCUGCAAACGAAAGAUCCUGAAAAUUUUCUUAUCUCAUAAUCCAUACAUUCAAAACCUAUAAACUAGAUAACUAAUCACUCACGAACCACAGAUGUUCCUCCACAAAGUACAGGACACAAAUUGUGGAGGAACAUAGAGAGAGCUAUUGGUCCUAAUUAUUAAAACUUUCAGUUGCAUGCAAAUAGUUAGACCAAGGCAAUGCUGCUCUCACCACCAGGGGGUUUGCGGACUCCACCCAAGAAGUCUCUAGCUUUAACCUUGCCAUCAGCAAAAAUAUUGUUGCCACUCAUUUCUUUCAGCUUGGCCGUGCUCAGAUGCUUUUCAGCAGAGCCUGGAGGAACAUCUCCUUUGAAAAUGUCAUUGCCAGUCAACUCUGCAAAUUUCUGGUCAUGUAGUUUCUUUGAAGUCUUGACAACUGGUUCUUCACCAAACAAGAUGUUACUUUGACCGCCAGCAGGCUACAAAAGUUCAAACAAGACCAUAAAAAUUCCAGCAUUUUGGACAACCAGUCCGAAAAGAAUAGACUUUAGGUAAUAGGUUGCAAAGAAACUGUCAAAAAAUUUUCCCUAAAUAUAACAGAUCCAAAAGCUGAUAUAGACAUCAUAAUGACAAUACAAAUGCACUUCAAAAUGCAAAUGCAAAAUGCUAUCCUAAAACAUUCAACACACACAGAGACAGAGAGAGAGAGAGUGAAUCUGUGUGUGUGUGGCUGUUUGUUUGUACAUGUGCAUUAUCAGCAGGCCAUACGGGGUACAAGAAUGAGAGAUAAAGAGGAGAAAAUGGAAGUUAAUCUAACAGAUGAGUCCCACGAGUUAACUUACAUUAGAAACCUUGACUGAUGUUCGUAGAUUUCGCGGUGCAGGUUCUCCCAUGUCCUUGAUUUCUUUUGCUUCCAUAGAGCGCACAGCAGCCAAUGAUCUGGGAGGAACUUCAGGAGGAGGGCCAAAGAUAUCAUUACCGCUUAGUUCCUUGCUCUUCGCAUCUGACAGCUGCUUCUUCAUCUUACUAUCAGCUUCGCUUUCCAGUGUUCCACUUAACUCCCGCUGCUUUGCAACCUCAGUAAGAGUUGUCGGCUUCUUUGGAGAAAUCCUUUCUUCAGUACUAAAGGAGAUCUGGCUGAUUCCAUUUGCAGCUUGCUAACAACAAUCAAGAGCAAUUGCAUUCGCAGUCAAAAGACAUGUUAUGGGCAUCAUGGUUUAUAGAAGAAUAUGGCUGUAUGGGCUUCAUUCAGCCAAUGGAAGGGAUUCAGGCAUGCUGAGAAUACAGAGUUACUACAAUUACAUCUACAGAUACCUGAACCAUACGCACAGAUGUCCUAUUAUUAGAAGAGACAUGACCAUUUCCAGAUUCUGAUGCACCAUCUUCAGUCUCUCCAGAAAAUAUUUUGCUUCCAGUAAUCUCCUUCAACUUAUAUCCUGAGCAUGGUUUCCUGAACACACGAACAAACCGCAGCAAAUAAGAGCUCAAAUGCUAAGAAUCAAGGUUCCAAAUUGCACUAUGCAACGAUGCUAAAUCAAUCAUGAGAGUCUGGCACAUUUUAACAAUUUACUUUUGAAUAUACUACAUUUUAGUAUGCAAAAGAUGAAAAUGCUUGUAAAGAAACGGUCCAGAUGAUGUUUCCACAAGCCUAAUGACAUGCUCAAAUUGUCUGUUCUAAACUGACUGCCAUAAAAUUAAACGAAAUUUCACCUUUAGAAACUCAAGCUUUACAAACAUCUUGACAGGAAGACUUUGACCUUUCAUGUUUCUACAUGGCAACAGAACCUAAUCACAUGCAGUUUUUAAGAGUUCGAGCGGCUCCUAUAGCACCUUGGAAAGACUUAUACACAAAAAUGAAAAAAAGCAGGGAUUAUGGUGAUUGGUUAGCAUUAAUAUAUAGUGACAUCACAUUGACCAGUAAAGGCAACUUAUUACGUAUGUCACUUGGAUAUACAUCAGCAACAAAAGCCAAGACCUAUGCUUAUAUUGACAUGCAAAAAUAUUACCUUUGCAGAAACAAUUACCUAAACAUCUUAUCUUGCUAUUGUAAAGCAUGAUUCUUGACGGGUGUUAAAGAGUCUAGCCAUACACACAUAUUCACGCAAGUAAAACACCAGCAUCUCCCUGAUUGCUACAAUGCAACAUUCAGAUAGACAUAGGAUACUAGCAAUCAAGAACAUUCAGCCAGCUUAGCUUUUGGUCAAAACUUGGCAUUCCAAUUAUAAGCAUCAUUUUUUAAAUCGAAAAACCACAGAUUCCAGAACCACUUGCCAUUGACCUCUUGAAUGGGAAAUGUUAUUUGCACUCUAUUUUUUGUUAUUUGCACCCCACCAUUUGUUUUAUCAUAUAGUCUAAUAAAUGAAAACUAUAUGAUUAAAAUGAUACUGGAAGUGUGAUUAACAAAAAUGGGAGUGCAAAUAACAUUUUCCAAAAUUGUACUCCAGUUGUUAAUCAAAUAAUCGAAAAGCUGACAAAAGUUACCCCAUACGUAUAGCUGUAUUUAAGCAAAAUAUCUUCCAAAGUACGAAGUGAGCUAAAUUAAUUCCAGAUAAAGAAAAAGUCAUAGGUUAUAUCAAAGUGAAAAAGUAAAUUAGGUAGCAGGAUUCAGAAAACAUGUAAGUUCAACCAAAUAUGUAAUCUUUUUCUUUUUAUAUUCUACUCAUAAACCAAUAUUACCCAAAAUAUUUCCCAAAAAGGAAAGGCAUCGGAGAAAAAAAUAAAUCUUUAAACUAGAUGCAUGAUACAAAUAAUUUCACUGCUGAAACAGUAAUUAUCUACUAAAUAAACAUAAAAAAUUAAGCAUGGACUCACAGAUCCAUUAUACUAUCAUCCAACUUCUAGUAAAUUAAUACAGGAAAAAAUGCAAAUAAGAAACAAAAAAGAAAUAGGGGUCUAGAUUCUUGACAAUGCAAGUAAAGUUUCAAACUUGACAACUUAAUUUGCAUCUCAGUGCAACUUCUCCUGAAUUAAACAAGCAAAAAAAAAAAAAAGAAAAAAGAAAAAAGAUAUGCAUCUGAUUACAAUAACCUUCUAUUGAGACUUUCAGCUUCCUCAUCAGUGAUCUGUCCUCCAAACAGCACCUUACCAAUCCCAUCUGCUGGCUACAAUAAUUUCAACCAGAAAAAAAAGAAAAAGAAAAAACAUUAAAAAGAGUACAAUACUAAAUCUCCGGCUACAAUGCAGUGCAUUUUAAAGUUGCUAGUUAAACAAGAAAGUGUCCGGAAAAUGAGGUGUACCUGCUGGGGACGAGUGGCAGAGCGGGAGACAUUGGCGGAGGCCGAGGUGGAGGAGUCGGACGGAGGCGCCUCCGACCAUGUCAGCAAGUCGGCCGUGGAAGUAUGGGGCUUCCGGGCAGGCGUUACUCUCUCCAUUUCUUUUUCUUUUUCUUUUAGUCCCUUUCGUCUCUCUCCUUCUUCUGUGCUUUUUUUUUUUUUUUUGAACUGAAAGUCUGAAAGGCUUAGUUGAAAAUAUCCGGAGAGCUGUUGUAGACUGUGGUCCGUGGACACUACAGAGAAAGAAUAUCUGAAUCUAUCAUUAUCACAGUCUUAAAAUCUAACUUAACACGUGUACUACUUAGGUCUCACCAUUUAAGAUUCCUCAUUUUCAUUUUCAUUUUCAUUUUUUUCGUUUUAUUUAUGAAUCAAAUAAUAUUGGCAAAAAGUCAUGGUUUGGGAAGUUCAUUUUCUGCGAAGAGUUCACUUAAACUAUGCGGCUUUAAAAAUACUAUAGGUAUGUCUUUUAUAGAUACAUGUAAUCGAUUCGUAAUUACAUUUUAAUUUUAGGACAAAAAAUUUCAGCAGCUAUGAAACUAUUACUAGCAUUGACUUUUGACCAUCAAAUAAGUUUUCAUCAUAAAUUAACUACUAAACUAACUAAUCAUCAGAGUUGUGGUCAUAAUUUGUAAAAUUCAUUAAAACUUCGAAGACAAUUCAAAUUCAAAAUAAGCUUGAAAUGCAUGCCAAAAAUUUCUAGUCAAAAGCUUAACCUAAUAUCUAAUAUACAUGCCAAUCCAAAGAAUAUAAAACAAAAAAAAUCUCAAUAUAAAGGUAAUGCUAGGUAAAUAAAUAGCCUGGCCAAGUAACCAGGCGCUCAGGCUGCUACCAGACUCAGCCACUCAGUUAGCACCCCACCACUCCUCCCAUUGUUGGUACAUGCAGAUGUGUCUAUGGAGGCCACAAUCACCUGUAAACUAACGCAUAUCUUCUUCUUUGCAUUUGACACGUGGCGAAGACUAGUAGCAUCAUCAAACUUGAUCAAAAUCUUUCCAUACCAACAAUUUAAUGGACUACUAAUUCUCCUUUCCAUACAUGUACUUCACACUAUAAAAUUCACCUCCCGCGCGCGCGCUCUCGCACUACACAAAGACGACACCCCCCUCUCUGUCAUUUUCUUUCUGCACUCUCUCUCUACUGUAAAUCCGUUUCUCCCUCCACACGCGCAGUAUACAACUUCAUUCCUUCUCUCCUCUGCCACUCGAACGCAGCAGCAAUGGCAGACGUUCCUCGGUACAUACAUAUUAUAUACUUCCAUAAAUUAAAGAUGGUAUCUGAAGAGGUGAUUUUUGGUGGGUAGAUAGACCGACCUAAAUCAGUCCUCUCUGAGAUGAGGUGAGGUAUCUUUGUUUGUCCGAAGUGGAUGGCGGGGCUUCUCCCCUGGGAUCACUCCGACGAUCAAGUUAGUAUGAGAACGAGAAAAAUAGUAAUAUAUGAGAAUGAACAGUGUGCUUACUUGUUAAGAGUGCCUGGGGAGUAUUUAUAGAGUGGGAGUAAAAGGUAGGACGGGAGCUCAUGCUGGUGGGACCCACAUCCUGGUAUUACGGCUCUGUUCCCUGUCAGGAGGUCUGACUCUGACACUGUAGCCGCCUGGGCAGGGUGACGGGGAGCCUUACGUAGUAGCCAUUAAAAGCAUCCGGUACUUUUCAGAUAAAGCACUGGCUCUGGACGAUGUCAAAGGUGUUGACAUCAUUAGCGUGCAGCUGAGGUGGAAACUUGCUGAGCAGAGACUGCCUACGUGGUAGACUAGAGACCCGGCCGAGUUCAGGGGUCGUGCUCAGGUCAUGAUUAUGCUCUGAUGAGAGAAGAAAUGGGUUCACCUCGGCUUUGCGGGGUGACCGAGGUGAGCAUCCUCAAUAAGCCCCCCAAGCCCCGGGAGUUCCGGGCCAGGGAGGUACCGAGGCUUCCUUGUGCCGAAGUCAUCAAAGGCCGGGGUCCUGAAACUGCUCCGGAAGAUGCGGGGGCAUAACACGUAGGCGAGUCAGUUGAUAAGACGUGGAAAGAAGAGGGGGUGUCAGUCGAAAGGACGGGCCAUUAAUGAAGAGAGAGAGGGACACGGCGUUUUGAAUUCGAACGUGGCCGCCUUUUCGCAUUCUGGCCGCCUUUUCCCAUUCUGGCUGCCUCUUCAGAUUCCCCCAAAACCCUAUAAAUAGGGGGUCUUUUUCAUCGCAUGGCCCAUCACUUUUGUUUAGUUUUGCCUGAGUCUUGCAAAAUUCGUGAGUGUUGCCGAGGUCAGUACUGUCAGCCGAGAUCACAGCCGAAGUUAUCAGCUCCGCCUUAUUCCGUAGUCAAGAGUAAGUAUCUUUCUCUUCAUCUCAUCUUUCACACAUGGCCAAAACGGCUAAAACCCAUAAGGAGACCGUGAGACCGAGCUACCAGACCGAGGAGGAGCCAGAAGAAAUGACUUCGUCCAACUCAGAGGGGUUGACGUCUAGUGCUGCGGAGGAAUCAGCAGAGGAGGUCACCGGGACAGCCUCGGGGUCGGAUUCAUCCGCGAUGAGCGAGGAUGGUUCCGAGGUUGAAUAUAAUACCGACCUCGGAACUUCAAUACCCCAAGAUGAGGGCGUACUGGAGCCAGUUGCCCCAAAGGAUGUCACCAAGAUUGACUUCGGCCAGAUAUCGAAGUUUAGAAGUCGCAUAGGAAGAGACAGGGCCGAAAAGAUGAUAAAGAAAUACCCCUUCAAGUCGGGGUAUCUCGUAACGUCACCUGGGUCGAAUGACUCGGCCGAUAAGCCCCCGAUGGGUACUGUGGCUAUCUACCUCCAACAGUUGGAGGCAGGGCUGAGAAUGCCGACGUCGAGAUUCCUCAGGGACGUCCUCCGUCACUUCGCCUUGAGGAUUACUCAACUCACCCCGAACGCGGUUCGCAUCUUGGUGGGAUUCGAGAUGUUGUGUCGACAUCAAGAGGUGACUCCAACUGUGGAUCUCUUUCGCCGAUGCUACACUGUCAAGGCACACGGAACGGAUAAGGGGUGGUUCUACAUUUGCAAUCGAAACAACACCAUCCCGAAGCUCGUGGUCGGUGCUCCCUCUUCGAUAAAGAACUGGAAGCGUGACUUCGUUUUCGUUCCAGCCGUGGACUUCCCUUGAGGUUUUUGGUGGAGGCCCAUUAAAUCAAAGGCCGACCCCUCAGCGGGGGACCACGAAGAGGAGUCCUUCCAGAAGUUGAUGGGGUCUGGACUUCGGCUGUUCAGCUAUGACUACCCCGAAGCCGUGCUGGUUGAUGGGGGAAUUAGCCGAGCCUUACUCAAUCCCGACAAGCCUCUCUUCAUUUCCACUAAACUUACGAAACCUUGUAAUUUUUCUUUCAUGGCUUUCUUUUCACUUCAAUUGUGGCAAAUAAUAAUGUUUGUUUUUUGUGCAGUGGCGAAACUAUCCGACAUCAUCACAUCGGGCUCGGCUGAGGUGGCCAAGAGGUCAAAGAGGAAGAGCUCUGGCGAGACCUCAACGCCCCCGCCGAAAAAAAAGACACAAGGGCAGUUGUCCAAAACUUCGGCUGCUACAAUCACUCCAGCCACGGCCGCCCAGAGCAGCUCGACCGCCGCAGCCACGGGAUCCACCUCUUCUGUGCCGGAAGGGGUGCCCCUCGGAGUUACUGCGGCACUUCCGCAUCCUCACGACCGAGGUAAACAAUUGAAUGCUCCGGUCAAUGCGGUCACGGGGACUUCCCUGUGGAACCGCUUUCACAGCCCCCCUGUGCUUCCCGGAAAAGAUAAGACCCACUUCGGCAUUCAUUGGUGUCCGGAGUGAAAGCUUUCGGUCAAUGACAGGUGUACCCACCCUCGGGUAGCACAAGAGCUGGUGAUGCAGUCAAGUCUGCCGAGGGACGUGGAGUUCACAAGGAAACUCACUCCGGCCGAAGUGAUUCAAAGCGUGAUGGUGACCACCGCCUCCAAUACAGCCUUUAUGGCCGAGAUGGCGCACCGAUACUGUGCCCUAUUCGAGGAAUAGGACGCCGGCAAGUUGCAAAAUCAGAUCUCCAAGUUGGAGAAAAAACUGGUAGUGUCUGAGUCCGAGAAGGCGGAGCUUCAAAGACGACUUCAACAAGCCGAGGCGAAGGAGGAGGAGGCCGAAACUACCAUCAAUAGUCUCAGGUCGGCUCUCGAGGAAGAGCAGAAGAGGGGGGACGAGGUGAAAAAGUCCCAUGAACAAGCCCUCGAUAGCGCCGGAGCCUCGGCAGUGGAGGCUUUCCGGAAGUCCGAAACCUUCACCAAGGACCUCGGCCAACUAAUCACGCCGAACUUUAUGUUUGACUUUACAUCAGCCAUAGACGAGGCCGCAACCCACCUUUCCUCCGAAGCUUUGGAGUCUUUGAGGAACCAUGCCAAUUACAACAAGGACUCCAAGGAGUUGUGCGAUCGGAUGGCCGAAGGUCUCCAAGCUGGAAGGAACUUGGCCGAAGUCCGGGAUGAGUUCAACAAGUGGCUGUCCGAGCUCGACGGGGUGUUCGAGGAGGAUGAAGGAGAAAAAGCUGGGGGAGAUGUUGGCGAGAAGGUCGGCGAAGAGCACGGAGGAGGGGAAGAAGAGCUUCACCCCGACGGGGAAGAGACCGGCGAGCAGGCUGCCCAGGAGGGAGCCGAAAUGGGGGAGGGAGUCGAGACGGGGGUCUAGGCUCGUAAGUGUUUAGGUAGAAUGCCGAGAUGGCAGGUGCUUAAUAGCACUCCCGAUCUCAGUUUUGUAAUCAUGUAAUGCCUCUUUUUAUUAAAUGAAAUUUCUAUUUCUUCUCAUCUCGGCACUUUUAAUUUCUUACUUCGACCCCUGCUUGUCCCCUUUAUUUUUUAAUAACGGACGUGUUGAAAAAUAACAAAACAGCUGAAGUCAUAACUUGAUGAAAUGUUCAAGCAUAAUACAAUCUGAGGUUCUCGGCGUGCCAAGUCCUCGGCACUAGAGAGCCAUCUCGGUAGCUCAGUUUACAAUAUUCACUAAGACUAGACUCUACAACUCUGUAAGGGCCUUCCUAUUUUGGGCACAAUUUCCCUUGUGGCUCAGCUCGGCUGACUGAGUUUUUCCUGAGAACCAAGUCUCCUGGCUGGAAUCGAUGGUGUUUGACGCGGGCAUUGUAAUAGUGGGCAAGAGUGUUCUUGUAGGAGGCUAUCCUAGUUGAGGCGAUGUCCCUUUUCUCGUCGACGAGGUCGAGAUCGAGCUGUCUCUUUUCUUCGUUCACCUCGGCUGCAUAAGCCAUUAGCCGAGAGCUGGGUGUGAAGAUUUCGGCAGGGAUGACAGCCUCGAUCCCGUAGGUCAAGGAGAAGAGGGUCUCCUGCGUGGCUGACCUCGGCGUGGUCCAAUAAAACCACAAGAGACUGGGGGUUCUUCCACCCAAGAUGAUCCAGUUCGUGUAGUCGGGUCUUGAGGCCAUGCAAGAGAGUUCGGUUGAAAUUUUCGGCUUGACCGUUGGUUUGGGAGUGGCCCACCGAAGUGAAGUGUUGUUUGAUGCCGAGGUUUUUACACCAGUUCUUAAAUGGGUUCUCGGCAAACUGCCUCCCAUUAUCUGAAAUGAUAACUUGGGGUAUGCCGAAGCGGCAAACGACGCAUUUCCAAAAGAAUUUUUUAAAUGCCAGUCCGGUGAUGGUCCUUAGAGGCUCGGCCUCAACCCACUUGGUGAAAUAAUCCACAACGGUUACCAGGAAAGUAUAGCUCCCGACGGCCUUGGGGAAGGGACCUAAGAUGUCUGUCCUCCAUUGUUCAAAUGGCCAGGGUGAAGUGAUAUGAACCAUAAAGUUUGAGGGCUGGUGGUGCUCGGGGGCGUGGACCUGGCAGGAAGGGCAGCCGAGAACAAGGUCUUGGGUAUCUUGUCUGACGGAAGGCCAGAAAUAUUCGAGAAGCAAAGUCUUCUUGGCUAACAUCCUGUGCCCGACGUGAGCUCCACACAAGUUUUCGUGUAUCUCAUGGAGAACCUGGCAUCCUUCCUCGGGCAUAACGCACCUCAGCCACGGGCCAAGGUAGGAGCGCUUAUACAGCUCCCCAUCGCGGAGGGCUUACCGAGCAGUUUUGCGUUGUAUCUUUCUUGCCUCGACUCGGUUCUCGGGGAGGACUCCCUGACCUAGGAAGAGGAUGAACGGGCUCAUCCAAAUAUCUCCAGAGUGGACGGGAUAGGCCACUUCUUCCAGGUAUCCCGGCUCGGUUAACACUUCCACAAAGACGGUCUUGUUGAGGUCAGAAAAUGAUAUGGAAGCCAGCCGGGACAGAGCGUCGGCUCGCCUAUUCUAGGAGCGGGGAAUUUUUUGGAUUUCAAAAGACUGGAAGAACGCGGUAAGUUGGUGAACUUUGGUGAGAUACCGUUGCAUGGUCUCAUCCUUGGCCUCAUAUUCACCAAGAACUUGGUACACUACGGUUGGGAGUCACUGCGGACGUGGAUUCGCUGGGCACCGAAUUUGCGGGCCAGUUGGAGUCCAGCGAUCAAGGCCUAGUACUCGGCUGCAUUAUUGGUGGCCGGGAAGUCAAAGCGGAGAGCAUACGAGCACACUUCCCCAUGGGGGCCCUCCAGGAGCAGUCCUGCUCCACUGCCGUCCCCAUUAGAGAAUCCGUCUACAUACAACGUCCACAGGUGUGGAGUGGACACCUCAGCAAUGGCGGAUGUGGAUUGUCGACCUUCCGUGAAGGUGAGCUCGGCUAGGAAGUCUGCCAAAGCUUGAGUCUUUAUGGCAGUACGUGGUUCAUAUGACAGAUCAUAUUCUCCCAACUCGACAGCCCACUUGGUGAGGCGUCCGGAAGUCUCGGGACACACCAAUAUCUGCCGAAUAGGCUGGUCUGUUCUAACGGAAAUGAGAUGAGCCAGGAAGUAGGGCUUCAGCCGCCGAGCUACGUGGACUAGCCCUAGUACGAGUUUUUCGACCUGGGUGUACUGAGUCUCCGGCCCGCGGAGAACUCGGCUGACAUAGUAGACCGGCACUUGAGUGCCCUCAUCUCAGAUGAGCACAGCACUGACAGUCUCGUCGGCUGCGGAUAGGUAGAGGUAAAGCUUCUCUCCGGACCGAGGUGAAGCAAGAGUGGGUAGGUGGUGCAGGUACUGUUUCAACUUGUUGAAGGCAGCCUGGCACUCUUCAGUCCAGGCAAACUGAUCAACUUUUUUCAGCAUCUUAAAGAAGGGCAGAGUUUUCUUAGCAGAUUGGGACAGGAAGCGGUUCAGUGCGGCCAGGCGUCCAUUUAGCCUCUGGACUUCUCGGAGCUUCUGAGGUGGGGACAUGUCCUGAAUUGCCUUGACCUUGUCGGGAUUGGCCUCGAUUCCCUGGCGGGAAACCAAAUAUCCCAAGAAUUUUCCUGAAGUGACGCCGAAGACGCAUUUCUUGGGAUUUAACUUCAUCCUCGAGUCCCGUAGGACGCCGAAAACCUCCCUCACAUCCGACAGAAAGGCCGAAGUGAUUAAACUUUUGACGAGAAUGUCGUUCACAUAGGCCUCCACAUUGCGGCCGAUCUAAUCUUUGAAGAGUCGGUUGAUUAGCCUUUGAUAGGUGGCCCCGGCGUUUUUCAACCCGAACGACAUGGUAGUGUAGCAAUAGACACCUUGGUCGGUGUAGAACGCCGUCUUCUCUUGGUUCUCUUCACUCAUUCCUAUUUGAUGAUAUCCUUUGAAGGCAUCUAGGAAACAGAGGAUCUCAUGUUCUAUCGCCGAGUCAACGAGGGCAUCUAUUCUCGGCAGAGGGUAGCAGUGUUUGGGGCAGGCCUUGUUGAGGUCGGUGAAAUCCACGCACAUUCUCUAUCCACCGGUGUCCUUUUUGACCAUGAUUGGAUUAGACAGCCAGGUGGGGUAUUGGACCUCGUGAAUCAUUUUGGCGGGCAAGAGUUUGUCGACCUCAUCGGAUAUGGCCUUGCUGCGUUCGGGGCCGAAGUGCCUUCGUUUCUGCCUCACAGGGCGGGCUUGUGGAUUAACGUUGAGCUGGUGAAUCAUGAGUUCGGGUGGCAUUCUGACCACUUCAUCAGCGGACCACGCGAAGAUGUCUCGGUGGUCCUUGAUCAGGUGGAUCAUUUCUUCCUUCAGGGGCGAGGGGAGUCCGGCCCCCACUUGGACCACUUGGUCAGGUCUUGACUCAUCCAAGACCACUUACUCCACCUCAUCCCCGGGCUCAAACCUGCUAGGCUCUCCUCCCUUCCGAGGAUCGAUACUGUCUAUGGAGAGGACCGCUGGCCUCUUUUCUUCACCCCUUGAUGCGAUCCGUGGGGUGACCGCGGCCUGGAUGGUGGCGAGGUAGCAUUCUCAGGCGGCGUUCGCAUCGCUGAUCACCUCGGCCACCCCCGCAGGUGUCGGGAAUUUGAAACUCAGGUAGUAGGUGGAGUAAACAGCUCUCAAAGCGUUAAGCGUGGGCCGGCCUAUCAGCAUGUUAUAGGGAGAGUCUGCUUUGACCAUCGUAACGCUGACAGGCACAGUUCGGCAACGGGGAUGACACCCGACAGUCACCAUCAGGGUCACCACGCCCUCCGGGUGGACGAUGUGUCCCCCAAAUCCGACAAGGGGGGUUCUGACAGGAGUGAGUUGCUCUCUGGUCAGUUUUAAACUUUCGAAAGUUCGGUAGUACAAGACGUCUAUCGAGCUUCCGGGAUCGACAUAGACCUUUUUUACUAUGUAGUUAUUAGUGAGGACUUCAAUCACGAGAGUUUCGUGAUUGCUGGAGGCGGCAGGGACAGGGUCGUUGGGACCGUAGGUGAUCACUACGGAUAAUCGAGAACUUGGCUCGGCCGCUUCCAUGCCGUCCUGGCGGUAUGUCCGUUUUCGGGAGUUCUGACUGUCUUCUCCCGUUGGGCCACCUGCUAUCGUGUUGAUCACCCCGACAAUGUUAGGGCCGUAACCCGGUGAUCUGUCGCGCGGUGGGCGCUGAUCCUCCCUGCGGUCUUCGGGUUCUCGGCAAUGGAUCUUGGUGUUCCGCCUGUCUUCUAGGCGAGGGCCCCGACUCUUCCGGUGGGAGGCGCUUCGGUUGUAAGCUCCAUCCUUGCGGACGAAUUGCUUCAAGUGUCCUUGGCGGAUCAGGUUCUCGAUUUCUCGCUUCAGAUCGUUGCAGUAUUCGGUCUCGUGUCCGACAUCUCGGUGGUAGGCACAAUAAAGGUUGGAGUUCCUCCUAUCCCUCCUCCUCGGGAUCUCAGGAGGGGUCCGACCGAGGUGAUUUUGCCUCAUCACCGCCAAGACGUGAGACCGGCUAGAAUUGAGCGGGGUCAGCUCGGCGUCCGAGGUGGACGAUCUGCCUUUCACGAUCCGGUCGAAAACACUCCGGCGGUCUCGGAAUUGGUUCGAUGAGCCACUUGGGUCUGGUUCACCUCGGCCGGUGUCUUUUUUCCUCUGGAGGUUUUGCCCCGUACGAGCUGCCUGGGCUUCUCGCUUCAUGCGAUUUAAGUCCUAAUUUCGGAUUCCCUGGUCUACUCGUUCCCAGAGUUCCCGAAGUGUGCGGAGGUAAUUCCGAUGUAUCUCAGUAUUGAAGAUCCCCGCAAUCAACCCGUUGGUGAAGUCAGCUAUAGUUACCUGCUCAUUCUGAUCAGGUAUCUGCACAUUUUCCUCAUUGAACCUCUGCACGUACGAGCGCAGUGACUCGCCGGGACCCUGCUGCAGGUUCAAGAGAUAAGCUAAAGUCUUCGUAAUUGAGCGAGACGAUACAAAGCGGUGAAUGAACCGGUCUAUCAACUCGUCCAGCGAGAAAAUGCUCCUUGGCUCCAAGCCCCAGAACCAUUUUCGGGCUUUCCCUUGUAAGAAGAUAGGAAAAGCUCGGCAAAUCACGGCGUUGGGGACGCAGUAGAGUCGAAAUGCCAAGAUGAAGGCGCGGAGGUGAUCCUCGGGAUCACCUCAGCCAUCGUAGGAGUACAAGUUUGGGAGUUUAAAAUUUGGGGGCAUCAUUUCCCCGUUGAUGUCAUCAGUGAAGGGCGGAGCCCUCAUGUAGUCGGCCGCUAAGCCUCCAGGACGCCGAGGUGGGUCCUCAGCUCGUUUUUCAAGUUGGUUCCGGAAAAAUGCCCGGGAGACAGAGGCAAUUUUGGAGGUCGCCUUAGAAGAGGUACGCCUGGAAGUACUCCGAGAGAGGCGCCCCUCAUCGGAGUCCUCACCUGAAGGCACUUCAGGGGAUUUCGUCGGCCUCCUCUUGGAAGAUUCGGCCUUUUCUUUCCCCUGCCUUUUAAGGUACCACCCAAGUUUCUCAAAAAUGUUGGAGUUGUCUGAUACGAACUCGGCCAUCUUGGCGAUGGCGUCCUCGUUGGGCUGGGUCCUUUGGGACCCUUGUUCUUCAGAGAUGCGAUGUUGCUGGGCUCCCGAGGUCUGCCCAGCCCCGGUCGAGGGAACUCUUCCGCUUCUGGAGUGCGUGGAUCUAAUUUUAGCAAUACUCUCGUUCCCACAGACGGCGCCAAUUGAAGAGGUGAUUUUUGGUGGGUAGAUAGACCGACCUAAAUCAGUCCUCUCUGAGAUGAGGUGAGGUAUCUUUAUUUGUCUGAAAUGGAUGGCGAGACUUCUCCCCUGAUAUCACUCCGACGAUCAAGUAAGUAUGAGAACGAGAAAAAUAGUAAUAUAUGAGAAUGAACAGUGUGCUUACUUGUUAAGAGUGUCUGGGGAGUAUUUAUAGAGUGGGAGUAAAAGGUAGGACGGAGGCUCAUGCUGGUGGGAACCACGUCCUGGUAUUACGGCUCUGUUCCCUGUCAGGAGGUCUGACUCUGACACUGUAGCCGCCAGGGCAGGGUGACGGGGAGCCUUACGUAGUAGCCAUUAAAAGCAUCCGCUACUUUUCAGAUAAAGCACUGGCUCUGGACGAUGUCAAAGGUGUUGACAUCAUUAGCGUGCAGCUGAGGUGGAAACUUGAUGAGCAGAGACUGCCUACGUGGUAGACUAGGGACCCGGUCGAGCUCAGGGGUCGUGCUCAGGUCAUGAUUACGCUCUAAUGAGAGAAGAAAUGGGUUCACCUCGGCCUUGCGGGGUGACCGAGGUGAGCAUCCUUAGUAUCAAAUGCUGUGGACUCAAUAUGGAAUUAGCCCUUCCUCAAAAGCUUCAAUACUAAUAAUAAUGAUAAUAAUAAUAAUAAUAAUACGAGUCAUUAAUAAAUAAAAUUGGCACCUUAUACAAAUUUUCAUGCGAACAAUACAAGUCAUUGUGCAUUUGAAGUGUAAAAUUGAAAGAGGUGAAUUCUUGAUUAGCUUUUAGGGGAUGAGAGCUUUUCCGUCUACUACAUGCAUGUGUACAUAUACAUGUGCAUGUAUGUGAUGUGAUUACCUCAUAAAAAAGCUUAUGGGGUAAUUUUUGGACAAGAAUAAUGUUAAAAUACCAUACGCGUUUUUAAAUUUCUUUUGGUGCUUCUAUUCUACAGGGAAUAUAUAAUAAAAUUAUCAAAAAUAUAAACUUGCCCAAUGUACAUGUCUAUCACAAAUAUACAAUUACUAAUUGUUGCUGUAAAGGUAUCCAUGUAAUAUAUAUAUCCAUUUUUGCCGCCAAUUGUUUGUUGCGGUAAAAUACUCUCUCGCAUUUCCUGAUUUAAGUGAAUCACCCUUAGCUAAAAAAUCAUUUAUAUAAAAACUUGUAAGCUCUUAAAUACAAACAAACAAAGAAAUGCGAAAAUGCUUCUAGCCGAACCCUAGAAUCAAGUAUGAUGCAUCUAUCAGAUUCUACUCAUUCCAACAUGAGAAAAAACAAACUGCAUCUAUCAGAUCAAAAAACGAGAAAUCAAACAACAUUAGUCCAACGAUCACCAAAAGUUGAUAAAAGUUUGAAACCGAAAAUUCAAGAUACGUCCGAGAUUGUUUACAAGUAAUCAGCUACAAACGACGAUCAUCCAAGAUGCCUGAAAAUACUGUUGCAUUUUCACAUCUAAUAUGCAUUACCACCAAAAACACAAAAAUUUCCGUAGGUGUAAAGCUCAGAAAAUCAUCUAUCGUUUCUGGGAAAGAAAAAAAAAAAAGAAAAAGUAAAGCUCAGAAAAUGAGAAACAAGCUGUUUUCGUAUUAAUCCCUUCCUCCUCAUCCUUGUACCCCCGUUCCUGCUCCACUCUAUGGCUCCAUUUCUUCCUCCUCGUGCUGCUGGAUCUCUACGGCUCCACAAGCUGGGACCUCCUCGGCUUCACGUCUUCCUCCUGCAGGAACAUCCGCAGCCUCGCCUCGCCCUGCUCCUGCUCCAGCUAAUUGAACCUCCCCUCCUCCAACCUCCUGCUGCAACUGCCUGUCCCUGUAUCAAGACCAAGAGCGCUUAUUACAUAGCACAACACAAGAAAACAAUAGAUUAGUAAGGUCUAUUACAUGACGUUGGACCGGAGGCGUCAAGAUCCACUGUGCUUCUGGAUCAGCAGCACCAUCAGGCCGCAUAUUACACGCCCCAGUUUUAUAGUGUGGACAGUAUAUCAAACGGCAGCCUUGAAAGUUAACUGGAACUAUCCGCUCAUCCCCCUUCGCGAGGCACCUGAAGUAGUAUUUUCUACCCCACCCAAAAACCAAGAACAAUCCAUGCCCAAACUCUACGGCAGCAAACAUUAGUGGAUAUAACACUGACUUUUCAAACCCAUGUUCAGUUUGCUUGGUUAUGAAAUCAACCAAAGCAAAGCAGACAUGAACGCACCAGAAGCCUAUCCCAAGUAUCCCGAGAGCGUCGCCCCACUUAGACCCAUCCCCAGCAUACCCUACAGGAAUGCACUUACGCCUUCGUUUAAACUCAACUCCUUCGCUUCGGCCCAGGAGGCGAUAGCUAAAAAUCGACCAAGCCCACCCAGCCAAAGCCACUAGAAGGGCAACCAAUGCAGGUAUCUUCCGAUUUUCCCAGUACACGGCGGAUACUUCUGCUCCCAGCCCUAAAAUGGCGGGGGCAAGCUGAAUGAAGAGGUGAUUUUUGGUGGGUAGAUAGACCGACGUAAAUCAGUCCUCUCCGAGAUGAGGUGAGGUAUCUUUGUUUGUCCGAAAUGGAUGGCGGGGCUUCUCCCCUGAGAUCACUCCGACGAUCAAGUUAGUAUGAGAACGAGAAAAAUAGUAGUAUAUGAGAAUGAACAGUGUGCUUACUUGUUAAGAGUGCCUGGGGAGUAUUUAUAGAGUGUGAGUAAAAGGUAGGACGGGGGCUCAUGCUGGUGGGACCCACAUCCUGGUAUUACGGCUCUGUUCCCUGUCAGGAGGUCUGACUCUGACACUGUAGCCGCCUGGGCAGGGUGACGGGGAGCCUGACGUAGUAGCCAUUAAAAGCAUCCGGUACUUUUCAGAUAAAGCACUGGCUCUGGACAAUGUCAAAGGUGUUGACAUCAUUAGCGUGCAGCUGAGGUGGAAACUUGAUGAGCAGAGACUGCCUACGUGGUAGACUAGGGACCCGGUCGAGCUCAGAGGUCGUGCUCAGGUCAUGAUUACGCUCUGAUGAGAGAAGAAAUGGGUUCACCUCGGCCUUGCGGGGUGACCGAGGUGAGCAUCCUCAGUAUCAAAUGCUGUGGACUCAAUAUGGAAUUAGCCCUUCCUCAAAAGCUUCAAUACUAAUAAUAAUGAUAAUAAUAAUAAUAAUAAUACGAGUCAUUAAUAAAUAAAAUUGGCACCUUAUACAAAUUUUCAUGCGAACAAUACAAGUCAUUGUGCAUUUGAAGUGUAAAAUUGAGAGGGGUGAAUUCUUGAUUAGCUUUUAGGGGAUGAGAGCUUUUCCGUCUACUACAUGCACGUGUACAUAUACAUGUGCAUGUAUAUGAUGUGAUAACCUCAUAAAAAAGCUUAUGGGGUAAUUUUUGGACAAGAAUAAUGUUAAAAUACCAUACGUGUUUUUAAAUUUCUUUUGGUGCUUCUAUUCUACAGGGAAUAUACAAUAAAAUUAUCACAAAUAUAAACUUGCACAAUGUACAUGUCUAUCACAAAUAUACAAUUACUAAUUGUUGCGGUAAUGGUAUCCAUGUAAUAUAUAUAUAUCAAUUUUUACCGCCAAUUGUUUGUUGCGGUAAAAUACUCUCUCGCAUUUCCUGAUUUAAGUGAAUCACCCUUAACUAAAAAAUCAUUUAUAUAAAAACUUGUAAGCUCUUAAAUACAAACAAACAAAGAAAUGCGAAAAUGCUUCUAGCCGAACCCUAGAAUCAAGUAUGAUGCAUCUAUCAGAUUCUACUCAUUCCAACAUGAGAAAAAACAAACUGCAUCUAUCAGAUCAGAAAACGAGAAAUCAAACAACAUUAGUCCAACGAUCACCAAAAGUUGAUAAAAGUUUGAAACCGAAAAUUCAAGAUACGUCCGAGAUUGAUUACAAGUAAUCAGCUACAAACGACGAUCAUCCAAGAUGCCUGAAAAUACUGUUGUAUUUUCACAUCUAAUAUGCAUUACCACCAAAAACACAAAAAUUCCCGUAAGUGUAAAGCUCAGAAAAUCAUCUAUCGUUUCUGGGAAAGAAAAAAAAAAAAGAAAAAGUAAAGCUCAGAAAAUGAGAAACAAGCUGUUUUCGUAUUAAUCCCUUCCUCCACAUCCUUGUACCCCUGUUCCUGCUCCACUCUCUGGCUCCAUUUCUUCCUCCUCGUGCUGCUGGAUCUCUACGGCUCCACAAGCUGGGACCUCCUCGGCUUAACGUCUUCCUCCUGCAGGAACAUCCGCAGCCUCGUCUCGCCCUGCUCCUGCUCCAGCUAAUUGAACCUUCCCUCCUCCAACCUCCUGCUGCAACUGCCUGUCCCUGUAUCAAGACCAAGAGCGCUUAUUACAUAGCACAACACAUGAAAACAAUAGAUUAGUAAGGUCUAUUACAUGACGUUGGACCGGAGGCGUUAAGAUCCACUGUGCUUCUGGAUCAGCAGCGCCAUCAGGCCGCAUAUUACACGCCCCAGUUUUAUAGUGUGGACAGUAUAUCAAACGGCAGCCUUGAAAGUUAACUGGAACUAUCCGCUCAUCCCCCUUCGCGAGGCACCUGAAGUAGUAUUUUCUACCCCACCCAAAAACCAAGAACAAUCCAUGCCCAAACUCUACGGCAGCAAACAUUAGUGGAUAUAACACUGACUUUUCAAACCCAUGUUCAGUUUGCUUGGUUAUGAAAUCAACCAAAGCAAAGCAGACAUGAACGCACCAGAAGCCUAUCCCAAGUAUCCCGAGAGCGUCGCCCCACUUAGACCCAUCCCCAGCAUACCCUACAGGAAUGCACUUACGCCUUCGUUUAAACUCAACUCCUUCGCUUCGGCCCAGGAGGCGAUAGCUAAAAAUCGACCAAGCCCACCCAGCCAAAGCCACUAGAAGGGCAACCAAUGCAGGUAUCUUCCGAUUUUCCCUGUACACGGCGGAUACUUCUGCUCCCAGCCCUAAAAUGGCGGGGGCAAGCUGAAUGAAGAGGUGAUUUUUGGUGGGUAGAUAGACCGACCUAAAUCAGUCCUCUCCGAGAUGAGGUGAGGUAUCUUUGUUUGUCCGAAAUGGAUGGCGGGGCUUCUCCCCUGAGAUCACUCCGACGAUCAAGUUAGUAUGAGAACGAGAAAAAUAGUAGUAUAUGAGAAUGAACAGUGUGCUUACUUGUUAAGAGUGCCUGGGGAGUAUUUAUAGAGUGUGAGUAAAAGGUAGGACGGGGGCUCAUGCUGGUGGGACCCACAUCCUGGUAUUACGGCUCUGUUCCCUGUCAGGAGGUCUGACUCUGACACUGUAGCCGCCUGGGCAGGGUGACGGGGAGCCUGACGUAGUAGCCAUUAAAAGCAUCCGGUACUUUUCAGAUAAAGCACUGGCUCUGGACAAUGUCAAAGGUGUUGACAUCAUUAGCGUGCAGCUGAGGUGGAAACUUGAUGAGCAGAGACUGCCUACGUGGUAGACUAGGGACCCGGUCGAGCUCAGAGGUCGUGCUCAGGUCAUGAUUACGCUCUGAUGAGAGAAGAAAUGGGUUCACCUCGGCCUUGCGGGGUGACCGAGGUGAGCAUCCUCAGUAUCAAAUGCUGUGGACUCAAUAUGGAAUUAGCCCUUCCUCAAAAGCUUCAAUACUAAUAAUAAUGAUAAUAAUAAUAAUAAUAAUACGAGUCAUUAAUAAAUAAAAUUGGCACCUUAUACAAAUUUUCAUGCGAACAAUACAAGUCAUUGUGCAUUUGAAGUGUAAAAUUGAGAGGGGUGAAUUCUUGAUUAGCUUUUAGGGGAUGAGAGCUUUUCCGUCUACUACAUGCACGUGUACAUAUACAUGUGCAUGUAUAUGAUGUGAUAACCUCAUAAAAAAGCUUAUGGGGUAAUUUUUGGACAAGAAUAAUGUUAAAAUACCAUACGUGUUUUUAAAUUUCUUUUGGUGCUUCUAUUCUACAGGGAAUAUACAAUAAAAUUAUCACAAAUAUAAACUUGCACAAUGUACAUGUCUAUCACAAAUAUACAAUUACUAAUUGUUGCGGUAAUGGUAUCCAUGUAAUAUAUAUAUAUCAAUUUUUACCGCCAAUUGUUUGUUGCGGUAAAAUACUCUCUCGCAUUUCCUGAUUUAAGUGAAUCACCCUUAACUAAAAAAUCAUUUAUAUAAAAACUUGUAAGCUCUUAAAUACAAACAAACAAAGAAAUGCGAAAAUGCUUCUAGCCGAACCCUAGAAUCAAGUAUGAUGCAUCUAUCAGAUUCUACUCAUUCCAACAUGAGAAAAAACAAACUGCAUCUAUCAGAUCAGAAAACGAGAAAUCAAACAACAUUAGUCCAACGAUCACCAAAAGUUGAUAAAAGUUUGAAACCGAAAAUUCAAGAUACGUCCGAGAUUGAUUACAAGUAAUCAGCUACAAACGACGAUCAUCCAAGAUGCCUGAAAAUACUGUUGUAUUUUCACAUCUAAUAUGCAUUACCACCAAAAACACAAAAAUUCCCGUAAGUGUAAAGCUCAGAAAAUCAUCUAUCGUUUCUGGGAAAGAAAAAAAAAAAAGAAAAAGUAAAGCUCAGAAAAUGAGAAACAAGCUGUUUUCGUAUUAAUCCCUUCCUCCACAUCCUUGUACCCCUGUUCCUGCUCCACUCUCUGGCUCCAUUUCUUCCUCCUCGUGCUGCUGGAUCUCUACGGCUCCACAAGCUGGGACCUCCUCGGCUUAACGUCUUCCUCCUGCAGGAACAUCCGCAGCCUCGUCUCGCCCUGCUCCUGCUCCAGCUAAUUGAACCUUCCCUCCUCCAACCUCCUGCUGCAACUGCCUGUCCCUGUAUCAAGACCAAGAGCGCUUAUUACAUAGCACAACACAUGAAAACAAUAGAUUAGUAAGGUCUAUUACAUGACGUUGGACCGGAGGCGUUAAGAUCCACUGUGCUUCUGGAUCAGCAGCGCCAUCAGGCCGCAUAUUACACGCCCCAGUUUUAUAGUGUGGACAGUAUAUCAAACGGCAGCCUUGAAAGUUAACUGGAACUAUCCGCUCAUCCCCCUUCGCGAGGCACCUGAAGUAGUAUUUUCUACCCCACCCAAAAACCAAGAACAAUCCAUGCCCAAACUCUACGGCAGCAAACAUUAGUGGAUAUAACACUGACUUUUCAAACCCAUGUUCAGUUUGCUUGGUUAUGAAAUCAACCAAAGCAAAGCAGACAUGAACGCACCAGAAGCCUAUCCCAAGUAUCCCGAGAGCGUCGCCCCACUUAGACCCAUCCCCAGCAUACCCUACAGGAAUGCACUUACGCCUUCGUUUAAACUCAACUCCUUCGCUUCGGCCCAGGAGGCGAUAGCUAAAAAUCGACCAAGCCCACCCAGCCAAAGCCACUAGAAGGGCAACCAAUGCAGGUAUCUUCCGAUUUUCCCAGUACACGGCGGAUACUUCUGCUCCCAGCCCUAAAAUGGCGGGGGCAAGCUGAAUGAAGAGGUGAUUUUUGGUGGGUAGAUAGACCGACCUAAAUCAGUCCUCUCCGAGAUGAGGUGAGGUAUCUUUGUUUGUCCGAAAUGGAUGGCGGGGCUUCUCCCCUGAGAUCACUCCGACGAUCAAGUUAGUAUGAGAACGAGAAAAAUAGUAGUAUAUGAGAAUGAACAGUGUGCUUACUUGUUAAGAGUGCCUGGGGAGUAUUUAUAGAGUGUGAGUAAAAGGUAGGACGGGGGCUCAUGCUGGUGGGACCCACAUCCUGGUAUUACGGCUCUGUUCCCUGUCAGGAGGUCUGACUCUGACACUGUAGCCGCCUGGGCAGGGUGACGGGGAGCCUGACGUAGUAGCCAUUAAAAGCAUCCGGUACUUUUCAGAUAAAGCACUGGCUCUGGACAAUGUCAAAGGUGUUGACAUCAUUAGCGUGCAGCUGAGGUGGAAACUUGAUGAGCAGAGACUGCCUACGUGGUAGAGUAGGGACCCGGUCGAGCUCAGAUGUCGUGCUCAGGUCAUGAUUACGCUCUGAUGAGAGAAGAAAUGGGUUCACCUCGGCCUUGCGGGGUGACCGAGGUGAGCAUCCUCAGUAUCAAAUGCUGUGGACUCAAUAUGGAAUUAUCCCUUCCUCAAAAGCUUCAAUACUAAUAAUAAUGAUAAUAAUAAUAAUAAUAAUACGAGUCAUUAAUAAAUAAAAUUGGCACCUUAUACAAAUUUUCAUGCGAACAAUACAAGUCAUUGUGCAUUUGAAGUGUAAAAUUGAGAGGGGUGAAUUCUUGAUUAGCUUUUAGGGGAUGAGAUCUUUUCCGUCUACUACAUGCACGUGUACAUAUACAUGUGCAUGUAUAUGAUGUGAUAACCUCAUAAAAAAGCUUAUGGGGUAAUUUUUGGACAAGAAUAAUGUUAAAAUACCAUACGUGUUUUUAAAUUUCUUUUGGUGCUUCUAUUCUACAGGGAAUAUACAAUAAAAUUAUCACAAAUAUAAACUUGCACAAUGUACAUGUCUAUCACAAAUAUACAAUUACUAAUUGUUGCGGUAAUGGUAUCCAUGUAAUAUAUAUAUAUCAAUUUUUACCGCCAAUUAUUUGUUGCGGUAAAAUACUCUCUCGCAUUUCCUGAUUUAAGUGAAUCACCCUUAGCUAAAAAAUCAUUUAUAUAAAAACUUGUAAGCUCUUAAAUACAAACAAACAAAGAAAUGCGAAAAUGCUUCUAGCCGAACCCUAGAAUCAAGUAUGAUGCAUCUAUCAGAUUCUACUCAUUCCAACAUGAGAAAAAACAAACUGCAUCUAUCAGAUCAGAAAACGAGAAAUCAAACAACAUUAGUCCAACGAUCACCAAAAGUUGAUAAAAGUUUGAAACCGAAAAUUCAAGAUACGUCCGAGAUUGAUUACAAGUAAUCAGCUACAAACGACGAUCAUCCAAGAUGCCUGAAAAUACUGUUGCAUUUUCACAUCUAAUAUGCAUUACCACCAAAAACACAAAAAUUCCCGUAGGUGUAAAGCUCAGAAAAUCAUCUAUCGUUUCUGGGAAAGAAAAAAAAAAGAAAAAGUAAAGCUCAGAAAAUGAGAAACAAGCUGUUUUCGUAUUAAUCCCUUCCUCCUCAUCCUUGUACCCCCGUUCCUGCUCCACUCUCUGGCUCCAUUUCUUCCUCCUCGUGCUGCUGGAUCUCUACGGCUCCACAAGUUGGGACCUCCUCGGCUUCACGUCUUCCUCCUGCAGGAACAUCCGCAGCCUCGCCUCGCCCUGCUCCUGUUCCAGCUAAUUGAACCUCCCCUCCUCCAACCUCCUGCUGCAACUGCCUGUCCCUGUAUCAAGACCAAGAGCGCUUAUUACAUAGCACAACACAUGAAAACAAUAGAUUAGUAAGGUCUAUUACAUGACGUUGGACCGGAGGCGUCAAGAUCCACUGUGCUUCUGGAUCAGCAGCACCAUCAGGCCGCAUAUUACACGCCCCAGUUUUAUAGUGUGGACAGUAUAUCAAACGGCAGCCUUGAAAGUUAACUGGAACUAUCCGCUCAUCCCCCUUCGCGAGGCACCGGAAGUAGUAUUUUCUACCCCACCCAAAAACCAAGAACAAUCCAUGCCCGAACUCUACGGCAGCAAACAUUAGUGGAUAUAACACUGACUUUUCAAACCCAUGUUCAGUUUGCUUGGUUAUGAAAUCAACCAAAGCAAAGCAGACAUGAACGCUCCAGAAGCCUAUCCCAAGUAUCCCGAGAGCGUCGCCCCACUUAGACCCAUCCCCAGCAUACCCUACAGGAAUGCACUUACACCUUCGUUUAAACUCAACUCCUUCGCUUCGGCCCAAGAGGCGAUAGCUAAAAAUCGACCAAGCCCACCCAGCCAAAGCCACUAGAAGGGCAACCAAUGCGGGUAUCUUCCGGUUUUCCCAGUACACGGCGGAUACUUCUGCUCCCAGCCCUAAAAUGGCGGGGGCAAGCUGAAUGAAGAGGUGAUUUUUGGUGGGUAGAUAGACCGACCUAAAUCAGUCCUUUCUGAGAUGAGGUGAGGUAUCUUUGUUUGUCCGAAAUGGAUGGCGGGGCUUCUCCCCUGGGAUCACUCCGACGAUCAAGUUAGUAUGAGAACGGGAAAAUAGUAGUAUAUGAGAAUGAACAGUGUGCUUACUUGUUAAGAGUGCCUGGAGAGUAUUUAUAGAGUGGAAGUAAAAGGUAGGACGGGGGCUCAUGCUGGUGGGACCCACAUCCUGGUAUUACGGCUCUGUUCCCUGUCAGGAGGUCUGACUCUGACACUGUAGCCGCCUGGGCAGGGUGACGGGGAGCUUUACGUAGUAGCCAUUAAAAGCAUCCGGUACUUUUCAGAUAAAGCACUGGCUCUGGACGAUGUCAAAGGUGUUGACAUCAUUAGCGUGCAGCUGAGGUGGAAACUUGAUGAGCAGAGACUGCCUACGUGGUAGACUAGGGACCCGGUCGAGCUCAGGGGUCGUGCUCAGGUCAUGAUUACGCUCUGAUGAGAGAAGAAAUGGGUUCACCUCGGCCUUGCGGGGUGACCGAGGUGAGCAUCCUCACUGAAAGACGAAGAAGUAUAUAUUCAGCCGAUCUUGAAGGAAAACCCAGAAAAAAAAAAGAAGAAAGAAGAAAAAGAACGAUGAUUCAUCAAAAGCUUGGAAAACUAUACCUGAGGAAGAAACCGCGUCUCACACUUCAUCGUCAAGAAAUGAAGAAAAUGUCGUGCCUUGCCUGUAGACCCCCCAGAAUCAGAGAUUUGUCUGUUCUGGAAAAGUUGGGUUCUCUUGUAUGCUUUCUCAGGCACCUCAAAGCUGGUAUUUAAUGUCCGGGGCUAGGACACGCGUCUUACUGUGCUUCGUUCUUUUCUUUUUUCUUUUUUUUUUUUUGAUAAGGGAAAAUCCUUGCAUUGCAAAUCAGCAAUAGCGGCCUCAGUAACCGGCUUGGGGAAAUUUACAAACCAGACCCUACUUCCCUCAAAAGAUAACGUUAACUUAGACAUGAUGUGAGCGGGGACAUUAUUGGUCCUCCUCACAUGACUAACCUUAACAGAAUCAAAAGAAUGCAGCAUGGUCCUGAUGCCUUGGAAUAAGUUGCCCAUCAAUGACAAAUCAGGUUCCUUGCUAUUAAUCUUUUGAACAAUAUUUAAUGCAUCCCCUUCCUUCUUUUCUUAAAUCCAUAAUUUGUUAUGGAUUUAAACCAUCAUGGGUUUGAAUUCACCCAAUGAUAAAUAAAGUAAAGUGGUUGGUUACUGGUGAGGAAAAUCCAUAAUUUUUCAAACCAAGAAUAAAGGCCUUGUUUGGCAGACAAGUUUUUUGUUAAGUUUGUUUGUUAUAAGUUUUUUAAAAAUUUUAGAUACAAUAACCUCAAAAAUUUUCUCAAAAUUUUUAAACUAUACAUUUCAAAAUAUUCAAAAAUUUACACACUUCAAAAAAUUUUUUAAAAACUUUUACAGUAAAUUACAGUAAAAUUUUAGACAAACACUCAAACAACUCACUUGUCAAACGAGACAGAUCAAUCCAAUAUACAUCUUGGUAUUGAUAAAACCGAUUUAUAUCCAAUUUUUAAAAAAAUCUUAAAAUAGUUUGAGAAUAAAUAUUAAAUUUGAUUUCUAAAUUUCCAAUUACUAGCCGAAUUAUCAUCGAAUUUUAUGUUAGAUAGGAUAUUAUAUACUAUUUAAUAAUAUCACAUACUGAUAUUAAAUUCAUUCUUGAGCCUUAAUUUAUUUUAAAUCAAUUUUUUUUACUUGCUUCUAGAGUUUUAAGUAUUAUGGAAUUACGGGUUAUUCAGUCGAAAUUCGAUUAUUAAUAUUUAAUUUACCGAAUUAAACUUUAAACUGUAAUUAAAGAAAACCAAAGAUUUUUUUUUUAAAAAAAUCGUUAUGGAUUACUUGGCGAUGGGCACUCCUCAUUUUCCAAUUAUUCGUUGCACUCCGCUGGUCUGUAACCUUUUUUGUAUUGCUCCUUUAGCAGCUGUAGUUGGCGCGAAGGUCAAAGUCAAACCGGAGAAGCGAAACUAAUACUACUAUUAUAGUAUUAUCAUCAGUAUGGCAUCGGCAGUGGUAACAGUCGCAGUCGACGACGGCGAAGCUACGCCACUACUGCAGGGUGCUUCAGAUGACUUUCCGAGGAGGAGAGAAUCAUCGGCGAUUAGAGGAGGAGGAGGCGGAGGAGGAGAGAUCACCGCUUCAGUCUCUGCGGAGGAGCCUGACAGUAACGACGGGUCAACACCACCCGUGGCAACCGCACCAAAACAACGCCUUGUGUCUCUCGACGUUUUCCGC